This 86285-nucleotide long non-coding RNA is filed under the name Olea europaea (common olive). Its description in RNAcentral is "long non-coding RNA (OEUR_LNC009211)". Lineage: Eukaryota; Viridiplantae; Streptophyta; Magnoliopsida; Lamiales; Oleaceae. The record is from RNAcentral.
UGAUACUGAAAUUAACAGGAAAAUUUGAGGAAUUUUACCACUUUGGAUCCCUCAAUUGCUUCAUUUAGCAGCUCUGGAACUCCAGUGCACUCAUAACAGUAAUCUACCCCCAGUCCACCUGUAGUCUCUUUGAUCAAUUCUGAUACAGGUUUAUCAGAUUCUUUUGGAUUGAUAAAUUCAGUCAUUCCAAAGACUUCUCCUUUCUUCUUCUUUAAGUUGUUUACGUCGAUCCCAAUUAUCCUAGAAGCUCCAUUCAUUCGCGCUGCCUCUAUCACCUGCGUUAGUUGCCAUUAAGGUUCAUUGCUAAUAAAAUUUUGAUAUGUAUGGAUGUCAUCAUGGUCAAUGAAGAUGCGUACAGCUAGCACUACCGUAAGGGCAUAUUUGUACACGGUAUAGUCUUGUGUAGUCUAGUAUACCAAACACACCACAAAUGUAUAAUGCUAUCACUAGCUAAGGACAUGUAUUAUACACGGAUUUGGAUAACAUUGAAUAGUGCAAUGGAGAAGAUCCAAUAUAGUACCAUCCAGUAUACCAAACAUGCAACGAGUCUAUCACUACUGCAGUGGGUGUGUAUUGCUAUCAUUAUUGCAAGGGUAUGUUUUCUACACUAUAGUGAAUAGUCUACAGUGCGGCGAACUGGAUUUUAACAUUUUUUUUCUUUCCUAAUACUGUUCAAUCUUGUCUACUCCAAUAUAUGAAACAUGCCACGAGUAAAUACAUGUACUUACUCCAAGUCCAACAGCACCAACACCAAUAACAGCAACAGUUGAGCCCUUUUCAAUAGUGACUUCCCUCCAGGCAGAUCCAAAACCUGUGGUGAAACCACAGCAAAGGAAACUUGCAUGUGCAAGAGAAACACGGGGAUCAACCUUGACUGCAAAAUUCGCGUCGAUAACGACAUAUUCAGACCAUGUACCACAGCUAAAAUGGUGAUAUAUUAUCUGAUCUCCAAUGUGCAUUCUUGAUGUGCCAUCUGGCAUUAGGCCAGUGAAAUUUAAGGGAUAUUUGUGGCAUAAAUUUGUCUUCCCGGAUUUGCAAUUCAGACAUUCCCCACAUUCUCCCAGAUAGAGUGGCAUCACUACAUCUCCUUCCUUCAGAUUUGUGAUUCCUUCUCCCACACUUUCUAUCAUGCUGUAUUUGAAAUUUUUAUGAAAGUAUCAUAUGAUCAUUAUGUUUAAGCUUAGUUCAGAAAUAACAUCGUUUAGCAGAAUAAAAUUCUCGAUUUUGGUUUAGAUGAAAAGUGUUUUAUGGAUAAAAUCUUCAUUAAUGUCUCAUUUGAAACCAAAAUAAAUGUCUACUUGAGCACGGACCUGGAAAGGUCACAUGAGCUCAAAUUCUUAUAACAAAGGCAAAUUUAUUAUUUGUUUUGAAUUCUGUAUAUACAUGUUUUCGAGCAUGUACUUUGAUUUUAAGGAUGCAGAAUUCUCCAUUUAGGGUACGUUUAUACUCCGGAUUCAACAUGAAUACAAAGUAAAGACAUACCUUGAACAAGUAAGAAUGCGAUUGGUUCGUUAUUUUGAGGCCAUUUUCAGUUUUAUAAAAUACUCAAAACGUGUUUGGUAUUUUAUUUUCAAAAAUGCGUUUUUUAAAACAAGGAAAAUUUACAACAUAAAACUCGAAAUGACUUUUUGACAUUUUGAGUGUUUUCAAUAAAAACACUCAAAAAACUCAAAACAAGGCGAAUGAACUAAAAAAUUUUCCAAAUUAAAAUAAUUAAUAAAAUCACACAAAAUUUACCCAACUACAUAUCCUCCCUCCCAUACUCCUUCAAAAUGUCAUAAAACUAUUUCUAAAAUUUUUAAACUAAAUAUGUUUUCUAGUUUUUUUUUUUUUUUCUUUGAAAAACAGUUUUUCAGAAUGACGAACCAAACGCUUUUUCUGCAACCUUAAAAUAAUCCCUCAAAGUAUAAAACAGAAAAUGAUUUCAAAACUGAAAAUAGAAAACAGGAAUGCAAACUAAACGCACCACAAGUUUUUGAAAUAAAAUUUCAGAAUAAGUAACUCAAAAGCUUAAAACAUGCUUUAUGAACAAGGGUCGUAUAAAAUUUGUCAGUUGAAUCCCAGUAUCAAACAUGCUACUGCUCUAUCCAUAAAGCAUCAAAGGUAGAAAGAGAGAGAGAGAGAUUUACCCAACUCCUUCAUGUCCAGGAAUCCGAGGAAACAAAGGCUGCAAAAACAGUCCAAAGAACAAAAUCAAAUCACUCAAAUUCAGCAAUUUCAGUAGACUGUAAAUCAAAAAUUUCAAAAACCCAACAACUAAAAACUGAAUUCCUUACAACAGGGAGUCCAUUGCGACACAGAAAAUCAGUGUGACACAAACUUGCACAAAGCAUUUUGAUCCUAACUUCAGAGGAUUUGGGAGGAUCCACUUGUAUUUCCUCUAUUUUCAAUGGGUCUCCUGAUUUCCAUACCACUGCAGCUUUGCAUGUAAUUACUCCUGGAUUGCCUCUAGUCAUGGUGGAUACCUGGUUGCAAAUGGGAGAAUAUUGUCCAGUCACGGUUCUGUAUAAACUCAUGUAUAUAUAAUAGAGUUGACGGGGACGGGUAAUAGACGUGGGCUUGUUUUUUUGCUGUGAACCGUUGCUCGCGUUGUUCGCGUGCUACAUUUUUAAAUAAUUUUUCAAUUUUUGGCUAAAUGAACUAUUUACCACAGGUCAAUAAUCUGUCUUGUCACUUGUGCUUGUGAAGCUCGUGGAUUUGAUUAAAAAUAGAUAGGUUUGAAAACCCGGUCGGUUUUCACUUAAAGAAGAUAGCGGGUCGAGAUUAAAAAUGUUGACUUGAAACUGAGUCGAGGUCGAAUUCAUGAUAAAAGAAUAUUUAGAAAACAAAAGAAAUAAAUAAAUUGAAGUGAACUAGUCAGUUCUUAUUAUAAACUGAACGAGAAUAGUUACUCAAUCACUACAAAAUUGAAAGUUUGGAGAUUCAAAUGUUGAAAUUAUACGUAUCAAAUUUGAAUUUGGAGAUUAUUUUUAUGAAAUUCGAAAGUUGAUUAAUACAUUGGUCUAUAGUCGUCAUGGCAAGUAUCGUGCACUUUCGAUAUACUUUUAUUAGUACUUUUCAUCAUUGAAUAAUUAUAAAUUUUCUCGAAGUUGUGAAAUAUCUGAAUUAAUUGAUCCACCGGAAUAAAUAUGAAGUUCAAAAAUAAAUUCUUUAAAUCUUUCAAGGUAAGUGCUUAUAAAUUUAAAUGCAGCCACAACUUUAGAGAAAUUUAUAAAUAAAAUGUAAGAUAAUUUUACAUGAUAAUAUAUUUAAUAAGUUGUUGAUUACAUUCAUUUUAAAUUAGAAAAGUUAUUGUAAUCAAAUCAAAUAUGUUUGUGUUUGAUUUUGAUUAUUCGAUCAUAUUCGGUAGAGGUUUUAUUAUCCGAGUUAUUAAUGGCUCUAGUUACUUCACCCAUGAAUAAAGAGACUUAACGUGCGAUUUUUCAAAGUCGUGUUUGCUAUAAUGUGCAGUAGUUAUUAACAAGAUCAUCAAGUACAAAUAAUCGAAAGCUCCAAAAAAGGUAUACAAAAAUUGUUCGAAUCGAAUUUUAUACAGUGUGUGACUAUUAAGUAAAAACACUAAUGCAGCAGCAAUCAGUAUAAACACUCUUGCUAUAGCAUUAGAAUUGGUAUUUGGUUCGAUAAAACGUAUCAAUCAACACUAACCGACACCAAAUCCGUCGUAAAAGCAGCAUUGCUUUUCUCGUAUGAGACCAUAAGUUGUGGAAUAGCUCUUCGCUAGCAAUGAACUUCGAUAGAUUUUUCAGAAUCUGUCACUUUCACACACACUGCUUGCUGGAGAUUGUAUUGGUUAGAUUUGGCAUUUCCUGAUAGUCAUCCGAUUCAUCCUCCUCGUCUGAGGAUAGGAAAGAUGGACCCAUCCAUGACUUAAAACCUUCGUUAACACGUCUCUCCACCUGUGGUGUGACUUCCACUGGAUUUAUUUCGAGCAUUUCCAACCCAAUAUUCCUUCCUGCAAAGUCAUUCUCGUCAGGAAAUACAGCUGUUUUUCUUCUUAGCAAGAAGGCGGUUCCUCCGUAUAGAACUACCAGCCCCCAUGAUGCGAUUUCAUAGCACCAGAACAACGGCAAUGAGCAGCUGCUACCAAGCGUGAGGAGAGUUGAACCAAGAAUUAGUGCAAGAAGACCAAAAAUGAUGGCAAACGUGGCAUUUAGGAUGGAUAGACAGCGUACACCUCCUGUAGAUGAUAGAAGUUUUUGCAAAAACUCCAGAUGAGAACUCAUGCUGAAAUGAUGAAUCGCAAGAAGAAGACAUUACACAACUACAAAACAAUAGAAUAUAACAAUUGAUAUUCUUGAAGCCUCUUAACCCUUCUGUAAGCCUAAUGUUUUUCUAACCAAAUAAUUGACAGCUUUAGUUAUCUUCUAAAUUAUAUUUAGUGUUGACGUGCUUUGUAAAAGUUAAUGAUUUUGAGUUUGGAAUCCAUGACUGUUAGCACAGCCAGUAUAACCACCUUAACAUGUUAUCCUUGAGUACAGGUGCUACUCAAAGUAGACAAGAACAAUUGGACAACUACAGUGGACUAUGUGGUUGAAUUUCAAUAUGAUGCAACCUACAAUCUGGGUUACAAUACUUUAACCCACGAACUUCGCGUGCUCAACGAUGCAAGAAACAAACAGAUAUACCACAACUUUCACCCCUUAAAUUUCAAAAGUACAAUGCCACGAUCCUCACAUUAAGUAAAACAUAUAGCCCGAUUGAAUAUGGAGAGCAUAAUUUGAUUAGAGUUCAGCAAUUUUAACCUUCGAAAUCUAGAGUGCAAUGGCCUCUGCUGCUUUAAAUAAAUUAAAAUCCACCAAAAGAAACAUGCCCCGCAACUGUGAUGCACAAAAACAUAGACUGCAAUAUUCAUUCUAGAAAAUCCAGUAACAUAAGAAAGGUAGGGUCAAAAUAACAUCUAGUACCUCUUCUAGAAGCACAGUAAUUAUUCUCAACCACCUUCAAGCAUAUGUGUUUUGCAGGAGCAGCACGGACAACGGUAAUUCCUGCAGGGAAGUUGGAAUACAUUAUGUCUGAAACCAAAAAAUAAAAUUAUGAUUAUAUUCACCACAAACAAGAAGAGUUGAGCGCACUUCACAUGAAGUCAAAGGAACCAGAAAAUCAAAUUGAUGAAGGUAAAGUUGUAUACCACACCCGUUUGGUUUGCAGAAUUAUCUAUUAUGGAAAGGUCAGGUAUUCCCAUUCUAUUUUUACUAAUAAGGAAAAUGCAUCCCCUAUAAUAUUGUUUGUGAAAAAUCAUGGAAACUCAUUAACUACAUUUAAGCUAAGGAAUACCUUUUCUGGGAAUUUGGAUAACCUAUAAAUAAGACCAAGUUGACCAACUCCAUAAAUGUCCUCAGGCGUCCCCUGUUUUCUCUUCCACCCCCUGCUCACCUUCACAGUUCCUCACCACCCUAUUCCUGUCCGCCAGUGGAGACCACUUGACCACCAUCCCUGCACAUGCCAUCCUCUAAACACAUAAUGAAUGGUCCCACCCUUCUCUAAAUAAUGUUGUGAAUUAGAUCCCCAUAAAUUUGAAAUGACCCCAAAAAAAGCCCUUGUGGAUUUGUUGGGGUGUGAUUCUCUUGAAUCACUCUUUCGUGCUUCCACUUGAUAUUUUCAGAUUUAGCCCUUGUUUGAUCCCCAUAAUUUCCAAAAUACAUUUUUGUCUCUCUUCUUCUCAACCACAUUUUCUUCAAUAAAAUAAUAUUGCACCCAAACCCAAAACUUUUUUCAUUUUUUAACUACACAUUCUCCAUCAAUCUUCCAUUCCAAAAUGCAUUCUUGAAUAAAAAUGGGACUCAAACAAGCUCUUAGUUAAUUGACUUGGAUUUUGAUGGCUUUUGUGACAAAAAGAACAUUUUGGCUUGAAUAAAAUUUGAUAGUUCCUCAAGAUGGUUUAGCUGUGUACGGUAUUGAUCCUUAUCAGUUGAAUGAUUCCUUGCUUGGUAAUGUGGAGCAGGAGUCUGUUCCUGAUGAUGGUGAUUUUUUUUAUGAACAUGGAUCUAAGCAGGCAAACUGUUCAUUGAAGCUAGUUCCAGUUAAUGAUUUUGUCUUAGCAUCAAGUGAUAUUCAAAGCUGUUUACCCAGGGACAAAGAUCCAGUUCUAACUUUCACAAUCCCUGAAGAUGGAACUUUUGCUUCACAUUAUUGCUGUUCUAUGAGUUCUGACAUGCUGGGAAGCUCAUUUAGUAAAUCUUUCCCCUUUCCAAGUGAACUUCCUCCUGAAGAUGGUUUAGGUAUGUACGGUAUUGAUCCUUAUUGGUUGAGUGAUUCCUUGCAUGGAAAUCCAGAGCAGGAGUCUGUUCCUGAAUUUGGUUGUUUUUCUUGUGAACGUGGAUCUGAGCAGGCAAACUGUUCACCGAAGCUAUUUUCAGUUAAUGAUUUUGUCUUAGCAUCAAAUGAUACUCAAAACUGUUCUUCCAGGGACAAAGAUCAAGUUCUAAUUUCUGCAAUCCCUGACAAUGGUCCUUUUGCUUCACAGUCUUGCUGUUCUAUGAUUUCUGACAUGCUGGGAAGCUCAUUUAGUGAACUUUUCCCCGUUCCAAGUGAACUUCCUCCUGAAGACGGUUUAGUCAUGUACGGUAUUGAUACUUAUCAGUUGAAUGAUUCCUUGGAUGGAAAUGCGAAGCAGAAGUCUGUUCUUGAAGAUGGUUGUUUUUGCUGUGAAUAUGGAUCUGAGCAGGCAAACUGUUCACAGAAGCUAGUUCCAAUUAAUGGUUUUGCCUUAGCCUCAAAUUAUGCUCAAAGCUGUUUUUCCAGGGACAAAGAUCCAGUUUUAACGGAUGAACAAAAUGAUUGUGGAGCUUUAUUCUAUGACUCCCCAUGCUUUCCAAGCUUGGAUAUUCCAUUUUUCAGUUGUGAUCUUGUUCAACCUGGCAGUGAUAUGCAACAAGGGUACAGUCCACUUGGCAUUCGCCAACUGAUGAUAUCUUCCUUGAAUUCAUUCAAAUGGUGGGACUCACCAUCUAGGGAAGAUAGUUCAGAUGCUGUUCAGAAAAGUAUUGCCAAAACUUUUACAGACGCACCAUCUAUACUGAAAAAAAGACGCCGCGAUCUGGUGUCUCCUCUGUCAGAAAACAGAAGUCUGAAACAGCUUGAAAGUGACUUGAGGCAGGACUCACUAUCCAACCUGUCCAUUGAAUGUUCUGGAUUAGAGGCCGUGUGUGAUGAAUGUGUAGACCAGAAAGUACUUAUGCUGUCAUCAUCUCCAAAUGACAGAAGAAACUCUGAAUCUACUUGGGUAGAUAAAGAAAAUGUGAUUCCUGAUUUUGAAGAGGGGAGAGAGGAGGGCAACAAAAGCUUUGUAAUUUCGGGAAGCAGAAUGCUACAGAAAGAAUUAAACAGCAGUGAGUUUAUGAAGAUAAAACAACAGAGUGCAAUAAUGGAUAUCAAAAAUAUGGCUGGAGGCAAUGAUUCAGUAAAAACCGUGAGUAUUUUUUAUUGUGUGCAACUACUUUUUUAGGAACCUUUUUUUAAUGCUACUAACAUGCUCAUUUUACCGAUCUGGCCUUGUAAAAUCAUUUGUCUAGAUGUAAUAAUAUAUCACUGUAUGCAUUUUAUGAACUUCAAGCCGAAAAUAAGAAGAAUUUUCUUGUUGAAAUACUUGAACUUCGUGUACGACUUCUUAUGAUAAAACCAUUCUAAAAAUGUCAUUAGAUUUACACUUGAGAGAACUGCAUAUUUUAUCUUCAAUGAACUUGUUGCAAUGUGCACUAUCUUUUCCCGUAUAGCAAUAGAUCCUCCUCCUCCUGUCCACACAGCUAUAUGCUAUCAAAAACUUAUCUGGACAAAACCUUCGCAGGGGCGCACCCUUGAUUUUAAUGAGUGUGGGACACCGGUGAAGAAAGCUGAAAAGUUGUCUAGCAGCAUUGGUUGCUCAAGUCCCUUCCCCCAUCUAAAGAGUUUCAGGUAAAAGGCGCUCAUAGCCGAGGCAUUGUGCUGUAAAAUCUGAGAGUCUAUACAUAUGUCUCCUUAGAUUAGUGUAUGAAUUGGUUUAUUCCAUUGUAAUGCUCUAAAAUCUGAGAGUCUACACAUGUCUCCUUUGAUUAGAGAGUGAAUUAAUUUAUUCUGUCGUUUAAAUUUUGUCAAAGUGUGUGGAGUUAUUAUAUGAAUUAUCUAUAGGUAUUGUUUUGCUGAAGUAUUAUCAUGGUUAAAUCUUUGGUUUCACAAUGUAAUUUUCACUACAACGAUCAUUUUAAAUGAUUUUGGGCUUGUCUAUUAUGUCGAUCAAUUGAGGUGUAUUUAGCUCUUGAAUAGUUAUGAGAUCAGAGUUCUUGGAGCAACAUUUUGCUUGCUUUAUCUUGGCUCUUGCUAUUUUGGAUAGUUUUUAUUUUAUUAAUUGAUUAGACCGAUAUUUUCGUUAAAGAACAUUAUCUUGAACGUUUUUGCGAUCUUGUUUCCGACCUCCAUAUUGUCCCCGAUCCUACUACUCUGUCGUGAGUUUUAAAGGAUGUUAAGAUUCAGGCUUGAUUCUUGAAAUUCUCGCACCUAAAAAUUUUGGCAUCAUUUUUAUGUACACCAUAUUUCUUGCAUUCAUUUUCGGCACUUAAUUUUCUCUUAUUAUUGGACAUGUAGAGCCUAAUUAAACUUAUGGAGGAAUGCUGGAAAUUUUGUACAUGUAUUAAGUUGGUCGUCCUAAUAUUUUCUCCCCCAUAUGAAGACCACUGAGGUAAACCUUUUUUACAUAGAGAAAACAAUGGUUUGAAUUUCAAAUGCAACAUUAGUGAAAUCUUGUAGCUUCAAGUGGACGUUAUUCUCACUUUCUUUACUUGCUUUCGUUUUGUGUUUUGUGAUAAUUGCUCUCGGCUAACUGAAUUAGACCAUUAAUCCUUAAAAAUGACCAUAUUUCUAGACAACUAUUUUGCAUGUAGGUAUACAUAUGAAAUCAAUAAUACUGAUUUUUCUCUCAUUAAUUUUCUCCAUUCUUUAUUAAUUCUAAAGGAUAACGUAGUUUUUGAGGACCCCUUGAUAAACAAGCACACACGAGUACUGCUUGAUGAUAACAUUAUAUCAAUACAAGAGAAGAUCAUUCGUUGUUAUAUUUGAUAACAACUUUAACACAGCUAGGAUGCUUCAGAUAUUCCCAUGCCUUGUUAAUUUCUUCGAGUGAAACUUCAUGGGUCAACAGUUCAUCCAGUUGAAUUUCCUGUUCAAACAACAUUUUUUUCUUUUCAGUCCAUGUACAAGAAGGCAUAAUCAAUUAUUUUAGGGAAGUGACGAAGGUGUGUUUUCUUUUUUCAACAACUUAAAUUUUUAAACGUGGUGAUUCAAUCAAUAAAGCUUCUAGAUUUAAUCGUGAAACUCGAAAAGGAUUCAUACCUUAUUUAUGCAUUUCUCAACUAUUUUAGGGAGGUCUGUUUGAGGUCUUACUCCACCAUAAAUGGACCCCUUAAUUGUCCUACCACACAAGAGGGGAAUGUAUUUGAGCUCCCCACUUAAAUGAAGUCCUGCACCAAUGAAAACUAUUGUCCCAAGUCCCUGUUUAAAUGACACAAUUAAAAAGAAAUUAGUCUUAUAUUAUGAUCAAUAGGAAAAGCCAUUACUGAUAUUGAAAUUAACAGGAAAAUUUGAGGAAUUUUACCACUUUGGAUCCCUCAAUUGCUUCAUUUAGCAGCUCUGGAACUCCAGUGCACUCAUAACAGUAAUCCACUCCCAGUCCACCUGUAGUCUCUUUGAUCAAUUCUGAUACAGGUUUAUCAGAUUCUUUUGGAUUGAUAAAUUCAGUCAUUCCAAAGACUUCUCCUUUCUUCUUCUUUAAGUUGUUUAUGUCGAUCCCAAUUAUCCUAGAAGCUCCAUUCAUUCGUGCUGCCUCUAUCACCUGCGUUAGUUGCCAUUAAGGUUCAUUGCUAAUAAAAUUUUGAUAUGUAUGGAUGUCAUCAUGGUCAAUGAAGAUGCGUACAGCUAGCACUACCGUAAGGGCAUGAUUUGUACACGGUAUAGUCUUGUGUAGUCUAGUAUACCAAACACACCACCUACACGGAUUUGGACAACAUUGAAUAGUGCAAUGGAGAAGAUCCAAUAUAGUACCGUCCAGUAUACCAAACAUGCAACGAGUCUAUCACUACUGCAGUGGGCAGCAGGUGUGUAUUGCUAUCAUUAUUGCAAGGGCAUGUUUUCUACACUAUAGUGAAUAGUCUACACUACGACGAACUGGAUUUUAACCUUUUUUUCUUUUCUAAUACUGUUCAAUCUUGUCUAAUAUGAAACAUGCCACGAGUAAAUACAUGUACUUACUCCAAGUCCAACAGCACCAACACCAAUAACAGCAACAGUUGAGCCCUUUUCAAUAGUGACUUCCCUCCAGGCAGAUCCAAAACCUGUGGUGAAACCACAGCAAAGGAAACUUGCAUGUGCAAGAGAAACACGGGGAUCAACCUUGACUGCAAAAUUCGCGUCGAUAACGACAUAUUCAGACCAUGUACCACAGCUAAAAUGGUGAUAUAUUAUCUGAUCUCCAAUGUGCAUUCUUGAUGUGCCAUCUGGCAUUAGGCCAGUGAAAUUUAAGGGAUAUUUGUGGCAUAAAUUUGUCUUCCCGGAUUUGCAAUUCAGACAUUCCCCACAUUCUCCCAGAUAGAGUGGCAUCACUACAUCUCCUUCCUUCAGAUUUGUGAUUCCUUCUCCCACACUUUCUAUCAUGCUGUAUUUGAAAUUUUUAUAAAAGUAUCAUAUGAUCAUUAUGUUUAAGCUUAGUUCAGAAAUAACAUCGUUUAGCAGAAUAAAAUUCUCGAUUUUGGUUUAGAUGAAAAGUGUUUUAUGGAUAAAAUCUUCAUUAAUGUCUCAUUUGAAACCAAAAUAAAUGUCUACUUGAGCACGGACCUGGAAAGGUCACAUGAGCUCAAAUUCUUAUAACAAAUGCAAAUUUAUUAUUUGUUUUGAAUUCUGUAUAUACAUGUUUUCGAGCAUGUAAUUUGAUUUUAAGGAUGCAGAAUUCUCCAUUUAGGGUACGUUUAUACUCCGGAUUCAACAUGAAUACAAAGUAAAGACAUACCCUGAACAAGUAAGAAUGCGAUUGGUUCGUUAUUUUGAGCCAUUUUCAGUUUUUUGAAAUACUCAAAACGUGUUUAGUAUUUUAUUUUCAAAAAUGUGUUUUUUAAAACAAGGAAAUUUUACAACAUAAAAUGAUUUUUUGACAUUUUUAGUGUUUUCAAUAAAAACACUCAAAAAACUAAAAAAAAGGAGAAUGAACUAAAAAAUUUCUCAAAUUAAAAUAAUUAAUAUAAUCACACAAAACUUACCCAACUACAUAUCCCCCCUCCCAUACUCCUUCAAAAUGUCAUAAAACUAUUUCUAAAAUUUUUAAACUAAAUAUGUUUUCUAGUUUUUUUGUUUUGAAAAAUAGUUUUUCAGAAUGACUAACCAAAAGCUUUUUAUGCAACUUUAAAAUAAUCCCUCAAAACAUAAAAAAGAAAAUGAUUUCAAAACUGAAAAUAGAAAACACGAAUGCAAACUAAACGCAAAAUAAAUUUUUGAAAUAAAAUUUCAGAAUAAGUAAUUCAUAAGCUUAAACAUGCUCUAUGAACAAGGGUCGUAUAAAAUUUGUCAGUUGAAUCCCAGUAUCAAACAUGCUACUGUUCUGUCCAUAAAGCAUCAAAGGUAGAGAGAGAGAGAGAGAGAGAGACUUACCCAACUCCUUCAUGUCCAGGAAUCCGAGGAAACAAAGGCUGCAAAACCAGUCCAAAGAACAAGAUCAAAUCACUCAAAUUCAGCAAUUUCAGUAGACUGUAAAUCAAAAAUUUCAAAAACCCAACAACUAAAAACUGAAUUCCUUACAACAGGGAGUCCAUUGCGACACAGAAAAUCAGUGUGACACAAACUUGCACAAAGCAUUUUGAUCCUAACUUCAGAGGAUUUGGGAGGAUCCACUUGUAUUUCCUCUAUUUUCAAAGGGUCUCCUGAUUUCCAUACCACUGCAGCUUUGCAUGUAAUUACUCCUGGAUUGCCUCUAGUCAUGGUGGAUACCUGGUUGCAAACGGGAGAAUAUUGUCCAGUCACGGUUCUGUAUAAACUCUUGUAUAUAUAAUAGAGUUGAAGAGGACGGGUAAUAGACGUGGGCUUGUUUUUUUGCUGUGAACCGUUGCUCGCGUUGUUCGCGUGCUACAUUUUUAAAUAAUUUUUCAAUUUUUGGCUAAAUGAACUAUUUACCACAGUUCAAUAAUCUGUCUUGUCACUUGUGCUUGUGAAGCUCGUGGAUUUGAUUAAAAAUAGAUAGGUUUGAAAACCCGGUCGGGCAUUCACUUAAAGAAGAUAGCAGGUCGAGAUUAAAAAUGUUGACUUGAAACUGAGUCGAGGUCAAAUUCACGAUAAAAGAAUAUUUAGAAAACAAAAGAAAUAAAUAAAUUCAAGUGAACUAGUCAGUUCUUAUUAUAAACUGAACGAGAAUAGUUACUCAAGCACUACAAAAUUGAAAGUUUGGAGAUUCAAAUGUUGAAAUUAUACGUAUCAAAUUUGAAUUUGGAGAUUAUUUUUAUGAAAUUCGAAAGUUGAUUAAUACAUUGGUCUAUAGUCGUCGUGGCAAGUAUCAUGCACUUUCGAUAUACUUUUAUUAGUACUUUUCAUCAUUGAAUAAUUAUAAAUUUUCUCGAAGUUGUGAAAUAUCUGAAUUAAUUGAUCCACCGGAAUAAAUAUGAAGUUCAAAAAUAAAUUCUUUAAAUCUUUCAAGGUAAGUGCUUAUAAAUUUAAAUGCAGCCACAACUUUAGAGAAAUUUAUAAAUAAAAUGUAAGAUAAUUUUACAUGAUAAUAUAUUUAAUAAGUUGUUGAUUACAUUCAUUUUAAAUUAGAAAAGUUAUUGUAAUCAAAUCAAAUAUGUUUGUGUUUGAUUUUGAUUAUUCGAUCAUAUUCGGUAGAAGUUUUAUUAUCCGAGUUAUUAAUGGCUCUAGUUACUUCACCCAUGAAUAAAGGGACUCAACGUGCGAUUUUUCAAAGUCGUGUGUUUGCUAUAAUGUGCAGCAGUUAUUAACAAGAUCAUCAAGUACAAAUAAUCGAAAGCUCCAAAAAAGGUAUACAAAAAUUGGUCGAAUCGAAUUUUAUACAGUGUGUGACUAUUAUGUAAAAACACUAACGCAGCAGCAAUCAGUAUAAACACUCUUGCUAUAGCAUUAGAAUUGGUAUUUGGUUCGAUAAAACGUAUCAAUCAACACUAACCGACACCAAAUCCGUCGUAAAAGCAGCAUUGCUUUUCUCGUAUGAGACCAUAAGUUGUGGAAUAGCUCUUCGCUGGCAAUGAACUUCGAUAGAUUUUUCAGAAUCUGUCACUUUCACACACACUGCUUGCUGGAGAUUGUAUUGGUUAGAUUUGGCAUUUCCUGAUAGUCAUCCGAUUCAGCCUCCUCGUCUGAGGAUAGGAAAGAUGGCCCCAUCCAUGACUUAAAACCUUCCUUAACACGUCUCUCCACCUGUGGCGUGACUUCCACUGGAUUUAUUUCGAGCAUUUCCAACCCAAUAUUCCUUCCUGCAAAGUCAUUCUCGUCAGGAAAUACAGCUGUUUUUCUUCUUAGCAAGAAGGCGGUUCCUCCGUAUAGAACUACCAGCCCCCAUGAUGCGAUUUCAUAGCACCAGAACAACGGCAAUGAGCAGCUGCUACCAAGCGUGAGGAGAGUUGAGCCAAAAAUUAGUGCAAGAAGACCAAAAAUGAUGGCAAACGUGGCAUUUAGGAUGGAUAGACAGCGUACACCUCCUGUAGAUGAUAGAAGUUUUUGCAAAAACUCCAGAUGAGAACUCAUGCUGAAAUGAUGAAUCGCAAGAAGAAGACAUUACACAACUACAAAACAAUAGAAUAAAACAAUUGAUAUUCUUGAAGCCUCUUAACCCUUCUGUAAGCCUAAUGUUUUUCUAACCAAAUAAUUGACAGCUUUAGUUAUCUUCUAAAUUAUAUUUAGUGUUGACGUGCUUUGUAAAAGUUAAUGAUUUUGAGUUUGGAAUCCAUGACUGUUAGCACAGCCAGUAUAACCACCUUAACAUGUUAUCCUUGAGUACAGGUGCUACUCAAAGUAGACAAGAACAAUUGGACAACUACAGUGGACUAUGUGGUUGAAUUUCAAUAUGAUGCAACCUACAAUCUGGGUUACAAUACUUUAACCCACGAACUUCGCGUGCUCAACGAUGCAAGAAACAAACAGAUAUACCACAACUUUCACCCCUUAAAUUUCAAAAGUACAAUGCCACGAUCCUCACAUUAAGUAAAACAUAUAGCCCGAUUGAAUAUGGAGAGCAUAAUUUGAUUAGAGUUCAGCAAUUUUAACCUUCGAAAUCUAGAGUGCAAUGGCCUCUGCUGCUUUAAAUAAAUUAAAAUCCACCAAAAGAAACAUGCCCCGCAACUGUGAUGCACAAAAACAUAGACUGCAAUAUUCAUUCUAGAAAAUCCAGUAACAUAAGAAAGGUAGGGUCAAAAUAACAUCUAGUACCUCUUCUAGAAGCACAGUAAUUAUUCUCAACCACCUUCAAGCAUAUGUGUUUUGCAGGAGCAGCACGGACAACGGUAAUUCCUGCAGGGAAGUUGGAAUACAUUAUGUCUGAAACCAAAAAAUAAAAUUAUGAUUAUAUUCACCACAAACAAGAAGAGUUGAGCGCACUUCACAUGAAGUCAAAGGAACCAGAAAAUCAAAUUGAUGAAGGUAAAGUUGUAUACCACACCCGUUUGGUUUGCAGAAUUAUCUAUUAUGGAAAGGUCAGGUAUUCCCAUUCUAUUUUUACUAAUAAGGAAAAUGCAUCCCCUAUAAUAUUGUUUGUGAAAAAUCAUGGAAACUCAUUAACUACAUUUAAGUUAAGGAAUACCUUUUCUGGGAAUUUGGAUAACCUAUAAAUAAGACCAAGUUGACCAACUCCAUAAAUGUCCUCAGGCGUCCCCUGUUUUCUCUUCCACCCCCUGCUCACCUUCACAGUUCCUCACCACCCUAUUCCUGUCCGCCAGUGGAGACCACUUGACCACCAUCCCUGCACAUGCCAUCCUCUAAACACAUAAUGAAUGGUCCCACCCUUCUCUAAAUAAUGUUGUGAAUUAGAUCCCCAUAAAUUUGAAAUGACCCCAAAAAAAGCCCUUGUGGAUUUGUUGGGGUGUGAUUCUCUUGAAUCACUCUUUCGUGCUUCCACUUGAUAUUUUCAGAUUUAGCCCUUGUUUGAUCCCCAUAAUUUCCAAAAUACAUUUUUGUCUCUCUUCUUCUCAACCACAUUUUCUUCAAUAAAAUAAUAUUGCACCCAAACCCAAAACUUUUUUCAUUUUUUAACUACACAUUCUCCAUCAAUCUUCCAUUCCAAAAUGCAUUCUUGAAUAAAAAUGGGACUCAAACAAGCUCUUAGUUAAUUGACUUGGAUUUUGAUGGCUUUUGUGACAAAAAGAACAUUUUGGCUUGAAUAAAAUUUGAUAGUUUUAAAAAUUUAGGAUGAUGAGAUGAUGGUUAGUAGCAGUUCAUGGAGGAAAGAGGUGAAAGUUUUAUUUAUUUUUUAUUUAUUUAUUUAUUUUCUCAGUGUGUGUGUGUGUGUGUAUAUAUAUAUAUAUAUAUAUAAGUUGAAAUGAUAAAAGUGAGUAUGUGGAAAAUUCAUCGCAAUAUGAUUGGCAAUUAAGCACCUAUUUGGUAUAACUAAAAAAUAGUUUUUAGUAUAUUUUGAUAAAAGUCGAUAAAAUAUGAUUAAAAGUUGUGGGUCACUUGAAAUGUUAACUUUAACUUUGACUUAAAUUUUUAUCGAAUUUAAAAUUAACGCCAAAGAGGAUUUAAGUAAUAUCCAUCAAUUUGGGAUAUGACAUGCAACGAAGUGUUGAUAUUUGAAACUAAAAUUGAAGUUUAGCUACUUGAAGAGGGUUAAUCGAAUUUUACUGAUCAAAUUGAGAUAAAUUAAAAUAUAGUAUUUCUAUUGAAAUUCCUAAAUGAUUGCAUAUGAAAUUUAUCUGAGUGGAGACCUUGAGAUCUGGUUAGUAGGAUAAUCAAUUCAGCUUUUGAAUGGAAUAAUUUUUAAUUCCAAUUCUUAUGUCCUAGUUUUGAAAUAAAAGGCAAAUGAAAAACUUCAAACGCUUAGAUGUAUAAUAUGAGCGCUGACAAUGUGGAAACCUGACCCGAAAAAGUGCUAACAGAUUAGAUGUAUAAUAUGAGUGCUCACAAUGUGGAAACUGUUGACCUGAAAAAGUGCUAACAGAUGUCGGGCUCUACUCGUGUCCACAUGAGCAAACUUAAAAACAUUUGAAGCGGAGAUUUGGUCAUAAAGUUGACGACGUUUAUGAACAUGGGAGAUGCUUCGGACACGUGGCGUAACUGUUUGAGCACUAAGGAUAAGAUCGAAGAUGAGAGUGAACGAACACAAUCACUAACACUUAAACCAAAGUAUAUGCGAUCCAAACUCGAGCAAAUUAAUAUCAAGAGAGAAAAAAUGUGAUAAUAAACAUAUAGAGUGUGUACAUAUAUUUUCCAAUCCUCUACAAUAUUACAAGAGUUGCUAUUUAUAGCAUUCAGGUCGAAGUGGUCACCAUUGGAUCAAAUCCACGUAGCUUCAUCUAAUUAGCCAAAAUCUCACAUCAAUCUGUCAUACAUUAAUUACAUUGACAAGAGGUUAGUCACCUUACAUUCCUAGGUUGAUUUUUCUGACACUUAUUAGUAAAAGCGUUACAUCAAUAAUUCCUAAAGAUACUUAUCAAACCUGCUUAAAGAAAGCAAGCACCUUGGUUUUAAGAAGAAGAGCUUUGGAUGUGAAGAGGUUCGAUUUUCAGGAGGAAGGGCUUCGACAAAUGAACCCUGGUUGGAGAUAGCACUUCAACUAUAGAGCAGGUCUUGUCGUUUCUUUAUUUUGAAUUGGUGACUGCCAUAUGUCUGGACAUAGUACCUCCACGUGGCUUUCAUUGGAAGCUUCGUAUAUGUGGAGUAACAACAAUUCCCCAAUUCUAUGUAUAGUCAUUUACGUGAUACAUGGACUUUUGUAUUAUGUUGAAAAAUUUUUGUAGGGGUGUUUUUUAAUCCCACAACAAUAUAUAUAGUUCCCCAAAUCUAAUUUGCAAAUAUUUAAAUGAAAAUUAGAGUUCGAAAGUCGAAUAUGGUGAAUAGUCAAAGUACUUCCAAAGUCAUUUAGUGAGGUACCUGGACAGGGCUAAUGUUCAUUUGGCCGAGAUUAUUAUUGUAUAAAUUUGAUCAUACCGAAGUUAUAAAUGUUGAAGAAGAGGUGGUACGCUUCAUCAAUUUGGAUGAAGUUGCAGGUAAUAAAGCUGAAGAGAUCUUACCAGUUCAAUGUUAGUGAGUACAAGGCAUUCUUAAUAAUUGUGCUUAUAUGAUUAGUUGUUUGUUGCACUUCCCAAAAAAGCGGUUGUAACAGUUCGAAUUCUCACACACGUAAUUGUCGUAGCAUUUAAUGCUUAAUGAUGGUUGUCAUGGACGCGUCUUUUGUGGUUCAGACUUGUUAGAGUGCAUGAAUCGGAAGCUAUGAUCUGGGCCUUUGAAGGCGAAAUGGUAGGUGCGAUGAGUGGCUCGGAUUUAAUUUCCAACGAAUGACCAGAUGAUCCGAAUUACCAUCCAACAGUUGGGAUUGAGCGCCUCUAUCUAUAAAAGAACAGUUUAGGACAAAAAUCACUUUUGCCUUCAUUAUUAAUUAGAAUUUGGAUUCUCAAAGAAUUUCCUCCAUGUUCUUCUCAUUUUUUUCCAAAUUUACCUCAAGUUUUCCUCUUACGAUUUUCGAUCAAUUUUAGCAGGUGUUUUCUAUCUAAUUUUGUAAGUACUCGAAAUUGUUGUAGUUAUUGAAGUAAUGGCCUUAUCAUCUUCUAAGAGGAAUAUAGAUUUUAGCAAAAUUUCCUACGAAUUGGGGGUUGAAAUUAUGAAUGCUGCCAACCUCAUUCGGGUAAUUAUGGUUGGGUAGAGUUGUUUGCCAAUAAAAGGGGUGGGUUAGGCAAGGAGACUUGGGGCCCACCAAAAUUCAAUCCAUAGUUUUCUGUGUCCUCCCUAGUGAUUCUUAGGGAAAAAUAUUGCAUCCCACAUGACAUAGAACACCUAGCCCUGCCCCAGAAGAUCAUGCCUAUUUUUCGAGGCCUGGAUGGGUCGUCAUUAAAAAGUUCAUUCUUAAGACAGGGUUUCAACCACCUUUACAUCCAUUCUUUAGAGCUGUCCUUAGGCUGUACAGGCUUGCUCCCACCUAGUUCAUUCCUAAUUUGUGGGCCCAACUAGUGGGAUCCUACUCUUUGUGGAAUGAGACCUCCCUAGAUGAAGACACACCUCUCUACGUUUUUCAAACUAUUCUUCGGCCUAGGUCUCUAGGGAAAGGAGACUCCAAGGGUUGGUAUUCUUUGUGUCCAUGGGGGUCACACUCCCCAUUCGUCAUAUGACUUUUUUCCUCCAUCAAAGGAUGGAAGGAGACGUUCUGGUUGAUGGGAAAAUGGCAAGUAUGUGAGGGAGACACCAUCCCCCAAUAUGAUAGUUCCCACCUCCUACUCAGAAGCUAUGCUGAUGAGUUGAAUUAAUGUGGAUCUUGACCUUGUAUGUGUUUACCUUUUGCAGGAUCUGUAGAUCGUUUUGAGCUUGGUAAAGUUGAGCUCGAGAUUAUUGAGGAUAUCUAACGACGUCCUGCUUUUUGGGGGAGUUCGAGAGAUAAUUAUUUUUCGACGGUUCUUUGAAGAAUUCAACUUCAUGGCUCCUGGAGGUACUUUUGUCUUUCUAGGAUGGUAAUUGUUUUGACAUUGUUCAUUUUUGUUGACCUAGGUGUCUUAUACUUUUUGGAGAAAACUUUGAAAAGAAAAGACAUCCUAUUCCUAACAUCGCUACCAUCCUUACAACUACCACCACAAUUGGGAGAAAGGAAUUGAAGCCCUCAUCUGUUGCUACCAAGUAGGUGAGGGACCACGUGGAGAGAUUAGCAAAGAGGCUGCUGGUCAAGACGGUGAUGAAAGACCUCCCAUUAAGGAUAAGGGGAGGAAUAAGAUGAAGGAGGUCACCAAAAAAAGCACAAAUUUUCUGCUACCGGAGAUGGUGGGCCUAUGGCCAACCCACCGCCUCUUCCGAAGUCCCCCCCUGUUGGGGAGAAGUUGAUGACAACAUCUAUUGCUGUGGUCAAGAAGGCCCGAAAGAGGCCAAUUAUCGUGGAGCACCUAAAGCAAGAAUCCUCGAAGAGGGAGAGGCCAUCAAGUGGGACCUCUGCUACUGAUUCAAGUCCUCGCCCUAACUUGUCAUUUCACAAUGGGGAGACGUGUUGGCCUCGGAGGUUUUGUCGAAGUUACCACCAGAGUUUCAAACUGUAAUAUCUACUUUUCACAAGUAUUGGAUAGAUCGUUUGUAGUCCUUCAUGGAGACUAGUGAUUGGGUGGACAUUUUCACCACAAUGGUAAGCCAAUCUAUGAGGGGCGUUUGGGGCCGCUAUAGAGCCGGAGACCCUAUUUAAAAACCUUCAGAAUAAAAAUAAAGAAUUCACAAAUAAGAUCUCCAAGGCCGAAAAAGUAGCUACAAAGGCGGAAGUUGAGGUGGAGGCUGUGAAGAAAUAGCAUGCUGAAGAGUCUGUGAAGCUCGCCUCUACCUUAGCAGAAAUUGAAAACUUGAAAAAGGAAGUCCACUUGCGUUAGAGUGAAAUGCCUUCCAUGAUGAAGCGGGUGGAGACUUCUGAUUCUCACUGAAGGCUAGCUGUUGAAGCCCUGAAGGCAUCUAAUAAAGAGAAUGUAGCUCUAAAUGAGUAGGUGGAGGAGUUAAACUCUAGAGUGUUGGGCUUAACGAAGGAGGUGGAGAUGGCAAAGAAACAGGCUGAAUCUACUGAUAGUGAGGUUGAAAAGUGUUACAUAGCCAACUUUCAUCUCAUCAAGGCGUACCAAAGUUUCGCGAAGUAUUGCGAAGGUACGCCUAAAUCGAGAUGGUGGAGUGGAUUGAAGCCAACUUCCAAACCUUCAAUACCUCUGAACUGAUAUAUGAAUUCCCGUAAGAAGGAUAAGAACCUCAAAAUCUGAUGUAGAGUAGCCAGGUAUUAGAAAUCGAAACGAAGCCAAACCCCUUCACCCGUCUCUUGCAUUAUUUAUAUUUCGUCCGACUGUUGGAGUGCAAAUGUUUGCCGGAUAAUUUUUUCGACCAGUGGCCUUUGCCUUCUAAUGGAGUUGUUUGAGUGUGCUGGUGAUGCCCACAUGAAGAAGAUGAAGUCGGGAUUCUAUUAACACAUUUUUUGAGGUCAAUAGAAACAAUAGCUUAAUUUAUAAGUUUACUCCAGACUUAUCAUUGUAAUGAUCUCAACCGACGAGAAAAUAUUCACAUAACCAAUAAUAAGUUUCCAAUGUCUACGAGUGUAAAAAAAUUGAAAAAUCUACAAUCCCAACAUUGUCUCUUUCAGUCUAUCCUUUCGUACAGUCCUACCAUGUGUUAAUCCCCCCAUUGUCUUCUUAUUAGGGUGGGUCCAACAAAAUUUCUAAUCAUGCAAAGACAUUAAUGUUAUUGUCUUUCCCUUGUCAAGGAUUAAUUGUUGGGAGAUUAUCGCUUCAAAUAUGAUUUUGUAUAAAUAGGAAAUAGUUAAUAUUUAAUUCAACGUUUUUCUUAGUUUACAAGUUAAAUUCUCAAGGUCCUUCGACAAAAUUUUUGCUAAUCUUUGGACACAUUGUUUUCAACAAAAUCUCAACACAUACGUAGCCUUGGAUUGGUUCAACCAUAAAACCUAAUUAAAGUUUUAAAGUCAAUAAUUAAUUUUGAUUUACAUUUUAAAAGAUUCACAACUUUUCAACAACACAUUCCAUUAUUUUUUGUCAAAAUCUAUAAAAAUCUAUUUCUCAUCUAAGUCAAACAAGAACUUUACCUUUUUUAAAAAAAUAAAUAAAUUAACUUUUAUAUUCGUCAAACUUCAAUUUUAACACCACAUUUAGCCCUCGUUUGAACCACAUUAUUGUAAAAAUGAGAAUGAAAAAUAUAAUUGUUAUAGGCUCCAUACAAAAGAUAAAAAGUCAAAUAUGAUGAUUUGAUUUGAUGGAUAACGGUCAUAUUUUUCAUUUUAAUGAGAAAAUAAUAAGACUCAAACAGAGCUAAUAAUAUCUAUAAUUUAUAUCAAAUUUUCGAAAAUAAUUUCAUUCAUUUUUAUCAAAAUUUGAUAUAAUGUUCAUCAUGAGCUUUAUUACAUAGCUUCUAAGAAUUCGUUUAAUUGCCAAUAUAUUUCAUUAAAAAUGUGUUUUUCUAUCCAAAUACCUACUUUUGUGCUGUUUAAUUGCCAUUUUUUUCAUGGAGAAAUUUUCCUACUUUUGGUCACAUAGCCAUAUUUUUCUCAAAAUUAAGGAAAAUAUUUUCUUUAGAGGAAACAGAAUUUUAUAUUCUAGGAAAUUCACUUUCUCUCUCUCUCUCUCAUUUAUCCAUUCUCUCUCAUCUACCUACCAAUAAAAAAAUGAAUAAGUAUAAUAUUUUCUAGGUGAAAAAUUAAAUCAAUCAAACAUAUUUAAUUGUCAAUUUCCUUGUAAAAAAAUUCUAGACAAUUGAAUUACCUAAAAUUUAUUUUAUUUUCAUAUAAAUUUUAUGCUUACAAUCAAACACAUCCUAAAAUUAAAAGACUAAAAGUGCGCAUGACAAUACCUAAAUUAAUCCAUCUUAUCAAUUUAUUCUUAAUAUGUCUUAAAAGUGAUGUAAAGAUGACAGAGAGGGAGAAAGCUACACGUUUCCUAAAUUGAAUUAUAGAAAUUAUUAAAUUAAAGUGAAAUAUACGCAAUUUAGGACUAAACAACUCUUAUACGAUAAGAAUUGAUUUUAUUAAGAAAACUUAAAAGUCAAGGUGAAUUUUUUAAAAAUUUGAAAAUAUUAUUAUAUUUAAUAAAUAAAAAGAGUAAAUGAAAAAAAUAAAUAAAAAAUACAUCCUCAUGGUUCAUGCUAACCUACCAAGGUGAAGAAGGAAAGUCAAUAAGAACAUUUUCAAUGGAGUGGUGAAAUGCACAAAAAUGUAUCUCAUCAUCUGAAAAUAUUUAGAGCCUGUUUGUGAGUGAUUUUGAAAAUUGAUUUUUGGAUCGUUAGGAGAAAAGUGAAGUCCACUUGUAAGAGAAGAAGUCAAAUAUGACGAUUGAAAUAGUGAAAUAACGAUCGAAAAAUCAAUUUUUUGGGUGAAAAAAUCGCUCCCCAACAGUGCCUUAAUUGAGAAGAAAAAUGGUGGAGGAUGUGGAGGUGAACUAGACGUUAUCGAUUUAAUUUUUGUAAUUUAUCUUCAUUGGGCCUAUACACAAUUCAAAUUAGAUCGAUUUCGGACCCAACCCCAGACCAACUUGGUCAAUUUUGAUAAAUUUUUACUCAAAUCAAUUCAAUUCAAUUGGUUUGGUUAAUCGAUUUGGAGAUAUCCAAAUUUUGGCACUCAUUAAAAUAAUAAUUUAUUUUUCUCCCUUUCUAUCAACUAUACAUUCUCCAAUAAAAUAAUAUUACAUGUAAAUUCCAAAAAUUAUAAUUUUAAAUAGCGGGAGCCAAACGGGGCUAAAAACAAAAAAUUGCCUGCCUAAAUAAUCUCUCAGCUUCUGUGUUUCUUAUAUUCGUGAAAAUUGAACAAAACUUAUCUAAAUUUCUUUCAUAACUUCGCACAUAUUACAAGUGUUUUGCAAAUCUUUCUUGGUUUCAAACAGUUGCCCGACCUGCAAGUCCUCAUCAUCGGGAGCCACACGGGAAGAAUUCGAGGACGGUCCACUUGUUCCAACCUGUGAGCUCCCACCAGGCUCGUGUCUUUGUCGGGAUAAAGCAAUCAAAUUCUCAUUUGUAAAGUCGUUUAUGUUCUCAUUGUCUUCAACUGUUGACGGAAUUCUGCGCGUAACAGCGACGUCACAAUCAGAAGCAACUGUCUCAGGAAUACCCACAUCAUCCGCAGGAACUAUCUCCACUGUCUCCCAAAAACCUCGAUCAUUGUUAUCCGCCCUAUCCGAAUCUUCACGUUCACCUUCGAUAACAUCCUUCGUAAUUAAAGUCACACCAAGAACAGUCGGAGUCCGAUGCAUUUUAUUCAAUUCUAAUAGAUAAUUCAAUUCAGCAUCAUUAGUAACGAAUACCGGUGGCAUCGGAAUGGAUGAAUCCCCAUAACCGUUGAAUAGAUAUCUCAAUUGCAUAUCGUAUUGAGAUUGAUCGACAUUCAGCUUAUUUUGCAAAUCGUGGUACAUUUCUAAAUAUGGUGUACUCUCUGUUACGGGAAUUGCAAUACAACCACGUAUGUCACUCGUCCAUCUCCAUUCCCACCGAUUAUUAUCAUUUAAUUCGAAAUCACCGAAAUAACACACGGGGAUUAUCAUAUCUGCAUGAGGAAAUGGUUUUAAUCAACUUCAAAUAAUUAUAAGAAAUAAAAAGGCAAAAAAUCAACUGCAGCGAAAGCUGUUUAACAGCCGUUUAACGGCCGACUGUUAGGCUGUUAAACAGUCGAACAGCCGGCUGUUUUCGGCUGUUUUACAGCCGGCUGUUGGAUAUUUAACAGCCGGCUGUUUCCCGGCUGUUUCAGACUAUUUCCGACUGUUUGUUAAGUUAUACCAGUUUGGCAUAGGAGAAUACCGUUCUAAAAACGAAAUAAAGCAUGCGUAAUUUAAACGUAAGUUAUACAUCCGUUUAAUUUUUUUUUUUGAUAGGUUCUGUUAAAAAAAAUCUAUGUCGACAUAAAAUUUCUCUUUUUAACGUAUACUAAUUUACUUAAAACGAAAUUAAACAUGAUUAAAUGUACUUACCGAAUUGAAGUAAUUGAUGUGAAAAAAAAUUUCAGCUUCAACGUUCCAAAAUUCUUCUAGAUUUUGAGGUUCAAACAGAUGAAAAGAUGAGAAUUUUUUCUGUGUUGGAAGCUCGUUUUGAAGUUUUUAUAAGUGGAGAAAUGUUUGAUUUUCAAUUAUUAAGUAAAAGGGUAGUAUAGUCCUUUCAACAAUAUAUUGUUUUGUAAUUGUACAAAAUAUUUAAGGGCAUCUUUGUCUUUUACCAUACAAGAGGCCAAUGUCAUAAUAUUCUUGAUUUUGGAAGUCAAACUGAAAUUUUGCUCCUUUGACUGGGUCAAAAUUAAAAGUACCCCUUGAAACUUCGUCUUUGUAAAGCUUCUCAAGUGAUUUUCUUGUAAUAAAAUUGUAAUGUGAUCCCUUUGAUAUCAAUAAUUGCAGAACUUCCCCAUAUAUUUCUUAGAUUUUCUAAUUUAGUCCAUUGUUAUUCCUUUUUAUUUUUCUUUGUUUAUUAGACGAGAAUGUCGUCGAGUGAAGUGACGUAUUGGUUCAAUUUGAUCUCAAACACUAUUACGUGGAAUCUACUUCUAAAUCAAUCAAUCACGAAAUUAAAAUUAAAUUAAAUUAAUUAAUUUAAAAAUAAACAUUUGAUUCUCUUUAUAAAUAUUCUUAUUAUUAUAAGAUGAGAAAGAUCAAAAAGAAUAAAACGAUGAAUAAAGUGUGCAUGUACUUUGAAAUGCGUUGAUGACUUGAUGCCUUGUUGGAUACCAUUUAAUUGGUUGAGAUAAUUUGAUCUGCAGCCACUGAACUUUGAAAAUUUUAAUUUGGUCACUAAAGUUUGAUUACUAUCACAUUCAGUUACCAAUUGCCCUCCAAAGUCCAAAUUGAAGAAAGAUUUUGUUUCUCAUUUUUAUAAGAAUGAAAAUAAAAAAUAUAGUCGUUAUAGGCUCCACACAAUAGAUAGAAAUUCAAAUUUGAUGGCUUGAUAUGAUGGAUAAUGAUCAUAUUUUUUAUUUUAAUGGGAAACAAACGGGGGCUAACAUUAUACCAUAAUCGCUACUUCACAUAAUCACAAUGCGGCACUCUAGAAACAUAAAGAGUAAAUUGAAGAUUAUGACAAUGUCUUUAAAUUUAAAAGUUAUUAUAAGUUAUUUUUCUAUUAAAACAUUACGAUACUAUAUGUGUGUGUGUGUGUGUGUGUGUGUGUCUAUAUAUAUAUAUAUAUAUAUAUAUAUAUAUAUAUAUAUAUAUAUAUAUANNNNNNNNNNNNNNNNNNNNNNNNNNNNNNNNNNNNNNNNNNNNNNNNNNNNNNNNNNNNNNNNNNNNNNNNNNNNNNNNNNNNNNNNNNNNNNNNNNNNNNNNNNNNNNNNNNNNNNNNNNNNNNNNNNNNNNNNNNNNNNNNNNNNNNNNNNNNNNNNNNNNNNNNNNNNNNNNNNNNNNNNNNNNNNNNNNNNNNNNNNNNNNNNNNNNNNNNNNNNNNNNNNNNNNNNNNNNNNNNNNNNNNNNNNNNNNNNNNNNNNNNNNNNNNNNNNNNNNNNNNNNNNNNNNNNNNNNNNNNNNNNNNNNNNNNNNNNNNNNNNNNNNNNNNNNNNNNNNNNNNNNNNNNNNNNNNNNNNNNNNNNNNNNNNNNNNNNNNNNNNNNNNNNNNNNNNNNNNNNNNNNNNNNNNNNNNNNNNNNNNNNNNNNNNNNNNNNNNNNNNNNNNNNNNNNNNNNNNNNNNNNNNNNNNNNNNNNNNNNNNNNNNNNNNNNNNNNNNNNNNNNNNNNNNNNNNNNNNNNNNNNNNNNNUGUGUGUGUGUGUGUGUGUGUGUGUGUGUGUGUAUAUAUAUAUAUAUAUAUAUAAGUUGAAAUGAUAAAAGUGAGUAUGUGGAAAAUUCAUCGCAAUAUGAUUGGCAAUUAAGCACCUAUUUGGUAUAACUAAAAAAUAGUUUUUAGUAUAUUUUGAUAAAAGUCGAUAAAAUAUGAUUAAAAGUUGUGGGUCACUUGAAAUGUUAACUUUAACUUUGACUUAAAUUUUUAUCGAAUUUAAAAUUAACGCCAAAGAGGAUUUAAGUAAUAUCCAUCAAUUUGGGAUAUGACAUGCAACGAAGUGUUGAUAUUUGAAACUAAAAUUGAAGUUUAGCUACUUGAAGAGGGUUAAUCGAAUUUUACUGAUCAAAUUGAGAUAAAUUAAAAUAUAGUAUUUCUAUUGAAAUUCCUAAAUGAUUGCAUAUGAAAUUUAUCUGAGUGGAGACCUUGAGAUCUGGUUAGUAGGAUAAUCAAUUCAGCUUUUGAAUGGAAUAAUUUUUAAUUCCAAUUCUUAUGUCCUAGUUUUGAAAUAAAAGGCAAAUGAAAAACUUCAAACGCUUAGAUGUAUAAUAUGAGCGCUGACAAUGUGGAAACCUGACCCGAAAAAGUGCUAACAGAUUAGAUGUAUAAUAUGAGUGCUCACAAUGUGGAAACUGUUGACCUGAAAAAGUGUCAACAGAUGUCGGGCUCUACUCGUGUCCACAUGAGCAAACUUAAAAACAUUUGGAGCGGAGAUUUGGUCAUAAAGUUGACGACGUUUAUGAACAUGGGAGAUGCUUCGGACACGUGGCGUAACUGUUUGAGCACUAAGGAUAAGAUCGAAGAUGAGAGUGAACAAACACAAUCACUAACACUUAAACCAAAGUAUAUGUGAUCCAAACUCGAGCAAAUUAAUAUCGAGAGAGAAAAAAUGUGAUAAUAAACAUAUAGAGUGUGUGCAUAUAUUUUCCAAUCCUCUACAAUGUUACAAGAGUUUCUAUUUAUAGCAUUCAGGUCGAAGUGGUCACCAUUGGAUCAAAUCCACGUGGCUUCAUCUAAUUAGCCAAAAUCUCACAUCAAUCUGUCAUACAAUAAUUACAUUGACAAGAGGUUAGUCGCCUUACAUUCCUAGGCUGAUUUUUCUGACACUUAUUAGUAAAAGCGUUACAUUAAUAAUUCCUAAAGAUACUUAUCAAACCUGCUUAAAGAAAGCAAGCACCUUGGCUUUAAGAAGAAGAGCUUUGGAUGUGAAGAGGUUCGAUUUUCAGGAGGAAGGGCUUCGACAAAUGAACCCUGGUUGGAGAUAGCACUUCAACUAUAGAGCAGGUCUUGUCAUUUCUUUAUUUUGAAUUGGUUGACUGCCAUAUGUCUGGACAUAGUACCUCCACGUGGCUUUCAUUGGAAGCUUCGUAUAUGUGGAGUAACAACAAUUCCCCAAUUCUAUGUAUAGUCAUUUACGUGAUACAUGGACUUUUAUAUUAUGUUGAAAAAAUUUUGUAGGGGUGUUUUUUAAUCCCACAACAAUAUAUAUAGUUCCCCAAAUCUAAUUUGUAAAUAUUUAAAUGAAAAUUAGAGUUCGAAAGUCGAAUAUGGUGAAUAGUCAAAGUACUUACCAAAGUCAUUUAGUGAGGUACCUGGACAGGGCUAAUGUUUAUUUGGCCGAGAUUAUUAUUGUAUAAAUUUGAUCAUACCGAAGUUAUAAAUGUUGAAGAAGAGGUGGUACGCUUCAUCAAUUUGGAUGAAGUUGCAAGUAAUAAAGCUGAAGAGAUCUUACUAGUUCAGUGUUAGUGAGUACAAGGCAUUCUUAAUAAUUGUGCUGAUAUGAUUAGUUGUUUGUUGCACUUCCCAAAAAAGCGGUUGUAACCGUUCGAAUUCUCACACACGUAAUUGUCGUAGCAUUUAAUGCUUAAUGAUGGUUGUCAUGGACGCGCCUUUUGUGGUUCAAACUUGUUAGAGCGCAUGAAUCGGAAGCUAUGAUCUGAGCCUUUGAAGGCGAAAUGGUAGGUGCGAUGAGUGGCUCGGAUUUAAUUUCCAACGAAUGACCAGAUGAUCCGAAUUACCAUCCAACAGUUGGGAUUGAGAGCCUCUAUCUAUAAAAGAACAGUUUAGGACAAAAAUCACUUUUGCUUUCAUUAUUAAUUAGAAUUUGAAUUCUCAAAGAAUUUCCUCCAUGUUCUUCACAUUUUUUUUCCAAAUUUACCUCAACUUUUCCUCUUACGAUUUUCGAUCAAUUUUAGCAGGUGUUUUCUAUCUAAUUUUGUAAGUACUCGAAAUUGUUGUAGUUAUUGAAGUAAUGGCCUUAUCAUCUUCUAAGAGGAAUAUAGAUUUUAGCAAAAUUUCCUAUGAAUUGGGGGUUGAAAUUAUGAAUGCUGCCAACCUCAUUCGGGCAAUUAUGGUUGGGUAGAGUUGUUUGCCAAUAAAAGGGGUGGGUCAGGCAAGGAGACUUGGGGCCCACCAAAAUUCAAUCCAUAGUUUUCUACGUCCUCCCUAGUGAUUCUUAGGGAAAAAUAUUGUAUCCCACAUGACAUAGAACACCUAGCCCUGCCCCAGAAGAUCAUGCCUAUUUUUUGAGGCCUGGAUGGGUCGUCAUUAAAAAGUUCAUUCUUAAGACAGGGUUUCAACCACCUUUACAUCCAUUCUUUAGAGCUGUCCUUAGGCUAUACAGGCUUGCUCCCACCUAGUUCAUUCCUAAUUUGUGGGCCCAACUAGUGGGAUCCUACUCUUUGUGGAAUGAGACCUCCCUAGAUGAAGACACACCUCUCUACGUUUUUCAAACUAUUCUUCGGCCUAGGUCUCUAGGGAAAUGAGACUCCAAGGGUUGGUAUUCUUUGUGUCCAUGGGGGUCACACUCCCCAUUCGUCAUAUGACUUUUUUCCUCCAUCAAAGGAUGGAAGGAGACGUUCUGGUUGAUGGGAAAAUGGCAAGUAUGUGAGGGAGACACCAUCCCCCAAUAUGAUAGUUCCCACCUCCUACUCAGAAGCUAUGCUGAUGAGUUGAAUUAAUGUGGAUCUUGACCUUGUAUGUGUUUACCUUUUGCAGGAUCUGUAGAUCGUUUUGAGCUUGGUAAAGUUGAGCUCGAGAUUAUUGAGGAUAUCUAACGACGUCCUGCUUUUUGGGGGAGUUCGAGAGAUAAUUAUUUUCCGACGGUUCUUUGAAGAAUUCAACUUGAUGGCUCCUGGAGGUACUUUUGUCUUUCUAGGAUGGUAAUUGUUUUGACAUUGUUCAUUUUUGUUGACCUGGGUGUCUUAUACUUUUUGGAGAAAACUUUGAAAAGAAAAGACAUCCUACUCCUAACAUCGCUACCAUCCUUACAACUACCACCACAAUUGGGAAAAAGGAAUUGAAGCCCUCAUCUGUUGCUACCAAGUAGGUGAGGGACCACGUGGAGAGAUUAGCAAAGAGGCUGCUGGUCAAGACGAUGAUGAAAGACCUCCCAUUAAGGAUAAGGGGAGGAUUAAGAUGAAGGAGGUCACCAAAAAAAGCACAAAUUUUCUGCUACCGGAGAUGGUGGGCCUAUGGCCAACCCACCGCCUCUUCCGAAGUCCCUGUUGGGGAGAAGUUGAUGACAACAUCUAUUGCUGUGGUCAAGAAGGCCCGAAAGAGGCCAAUUGUCGUGGAGCACCUAAAGCAAGAAUCCUCGAAGAGGGAGAGGCCAUCAAGUGGAACCUCUGCUUCUGAUGCAAGUCCUCGCCCUAACUUGUCAUUUCACAAUGGGGAGACGAGUUGGCCUCGGAGGUUUUGUCGAAGUUGCCACCAUAGGUUCAAACUGUAAUAUCUACUUUUCACAAGUAUUGGAUAGAUCGUUUGUAGUCCUUCAUGGAGACUAGUGAUUGGGUGGACAUUUUCACCACAAUGGUAAGCCAAUCUAUGAGGGCGUUUGGGGCCGCUAUAGAUGCGGAGACCCUAUUUAAAAACCUUCAGAAUAAAAAUAAAGAAUUCGCAAAUAAGAUCUCCAAGGCCGAAAAAGUAGCUACAAAGGCGGAAGUUGAGGUGGAGGCUGUGAAGAAAUAGCAUGCUGAAGAGUCUGUGAAGCUCGCCUCUGCCUUAGCAGAAAUUGAAAACUUGAAAAAGGAAGUCCACUUGCGUUAGAGUGAAAUGCCUUCCAUGAUGAAGCGGGUGGAGACUUCUGAUUCUCACUGAAGGCUAGCUGUUGAAGCCCUGAAGGCAUCUAAUAAAGAGAAUGUAGCUCUAAAAGAGUAGGUGGAGGAGUUAACCUCUAGAGUGUUGGGCUUAACGAAGGAGGUGGAGAUGGCAAAGAAACAGGUUGAAUCUACUGAUAGCGAGGUUGAAAAGCGUUACAUAGCCAACUUUCAUCUCAUCAAGGCGUACCAAAGUUUCGCGAAGUAUUGCAGAGGUACGCCUAAAUCGAGAUGGUGGAGUGGAUUGAAGCCAACUUCCAAACCUUCAAUACCUCUGAAUUGAUAUAUGAAUUCCUGUAAGAAGGAUAAGAACCUCAAAAUCUGAUGUAGAGUAGCCAGUUAUUAGAAAUCGAAACGAAGCCAAACCCCUUCACCCGUCUCUUGCACUAUUUAUAUUUUGUCCGACUGUUGGAGUGCAAAUGGUUGCCGGAUAAUUUUUUCGACCAGUGGCCUUUGCCUUCUAAUGGAGGUGUUUGAGUGUGCUGGUGAUGCCCACGUGAAGAAGAUGAAGUGGGGAUUCUAUUAACAUAUUUUUUGAGGUCAAUAGAAACAAUAUCUUAAUUUAUAAGUUUACUCCAGACUUAUCAUUGUAAUGAUCUCAACCGACGAGAAAAUAUUCACAUAACCAAUAAUAAGUUUCCAAUGUCUACGAGUGUAAAAAAAUUGAAAAAUCUACAAUCCCAACAUUGUCUCUUUCAGUCUAUCCUUUCGUACAGUCCUACCAUGUGUUAAUCCCCCCAUUGUCUUCUUAUUAGGGUGGGUCCAACAAAAUUUCUAAUCAUGCAAAGACAUUAAUGUUAUUGUCUUUCCCUUGUCAAGGAUUAAUUGUUGGGAGAUUAUCGCUUCAAAUAUGAUUUUGUAUAAAUAGGAAAUAGUUAAUAUUUAAUUCAAGGUUUUUCUUAGUUUACAAGUUAAAUUUUCAAGGUCCUUCGACAAAAUUUUUGCUAAUCUUUGGACACAUUGUUUUCAACAAAAUCUCAACACAUACGUAGCCUUGGCUUGGUUCAACCAUAAAACCUAAUUAAAGUUUAAGUUAAAGUUAAUAAUUAAUUUUGAUUUACAUUUUAAAAUAUUCACAACUUUUCAACCACACAUUCCAUUAUUUUUUGUCAAAAUCUAUAAAAAUCUAUUUCUCAUCUAAGUCAAACAAGAACUUUACCUUUUCUUUUUAAAAAAAUAAAUUAACUUUUAUAUUCGUCAAACUUCAAUUUUAACACCACAUUUAGCCCCCAUUUGAGUCACAUUAUUGCAAAAAUGAAAAUGAAAAAUAUAGUCGUUAUGGACUCCAUACAAGAGAUAAAAAAUCAAAUAUAAUGGUUUGAUUUGAUGAAUAACGGUCAUAUUUUUCAUUUUAAUGAGAAAAUAAUGAGACUCAAAUAGAGCUAAUAAUAUCUAUAAUUUAUAUCAAAUUUUCGAAAAUAAUUUCAUUCACUUUUAUCGAAAUUUGAUAUAAUGUUCAUCAUGAGCUUUAUUACAUAGCUUCUAAGAAUUCGUUUAAUUGCCAAUAUAUUUCAUUAAAAAUAUGUUUUUCUAUCCAAAUACCUACUUUUGUGCUGUUUAAUUGCCAUUUUUUUCAUGGAGAAAUUUUCCUACUUUUGGUCACAUAGCCAUAUUUUUCUCAAAAUUAAGGAAAAUAUUUUCUUUAGAGGAAACAGAAUUUUAUAUUCUAGAAAAUUCACUCUCUCUCUCUCAUUUAUCCACUCUCUCUCAUCUACCUACCAAUAAAAAAAUGGAUAAGUAUAAUAUUUUCUAGGUGAAAAAUUAAAUCAAUCAAACAUAUUUAAUUGUCAAUUUCCUUGUAAAAAAAUUCUAGACAAUUGAAUUACCUGAAAUUUAUUUUAUUUUCAUAUAAAUUUUAUGCUUACAAUCAAACACAUCCUAAAAUUAAAAGACUAAAAGUGCGCAUGACAAUACCUAAAUUAAUCCAUCUUAUCAAUUUAUUCUUAAUAUGUCUUAAAAGUGAUGUAAAGAUGACAGAGAGGGAGAGAGCUACACGUUUCCUAAAUUGAAUUAUAGAAAUUAUUAAAUUAAAGUGAAAUAUACGCAAUUUAGGACUAAACAACUCUUAUACGAUAAGAAUUGAUUUUAUUAAGAAAACUUAAAAGUCAAGGUGAAUUUUUUAAAAAUUUGAAAAUAUUAUUAUAUUUAAUAAAUAAAAAGAGUAAAUGAAAAAAAUAAAUAAAAAAUACAUCCUCAUGGUUCAUGCUAACCUACCAAGGUGAAGAAGGAAAAUCAAUAAGAACAUUUUCAAUGGAGUGGUGAAAUGCACAAAAAUGUAUCUCAUCAUCUGAAAAUAUUUAGAGCCUGUUUGUGAGUGAUUUUGAAAAUUGAUUUUUGGAUCGUUAGGAGAAAAGUGAAGUCCACUUGUAAGAGAAGAAGUCAAAUAUGACGAUUGAAAUAGUGAAAUAACGAUCGAAAAAUCAAUUUUUUGGGUGAAAAAAUCGCUCCCCAACAGUGCCUUAAUUGAGAAGAAAAAUGGUGGAGGAUGUGGAGGUGAACUAGACGUUAUCGAUUUAAUUUUUGUAAUUUAUCUUCAUUGGGCCUAUACACAAUUCAAAUUAGAUCGAUUUCGGACCCAACCCCAGACCAACUUGGUCAAUUUUGAUAAAUUUUUACUCAAAUCAAUUCAAUUCAAUUGGUUUGGUUAAUCGAUUUGGAGAUAUCCAAAUUUUGGCACUCAUUAAAAUAAUAAUUUAUUUUUCUCCCUUUCUAUCAACCAUACAUUCUCCAAUAAAAUAAUAUUACAUGUAAAUUCCAAAAAUUAUAAUUUUAAAUAGCGGGAGCCAAACGGGGCUAAAAACAAAAAAAUUGCCUGCCUAAAUAAUCUCUCAGCUUCUGUGUUUCUUAUAUUCAUGAAAAUUGAACAAAACUUAUCUAAAUUUCUUUCAUAACUUCGCACAUAUUACAAGUGUUUUUGCCCUGUGUCAACAAAUAAAUUAUACAUUCUCCAAUAAAAUAAUAUUACAUGUAAAUUCCAAAAAUUAUAAUUUUAAAUAGCGGGAGCCAAACGGGGCUAAAAACAAAAAAUUGCCUGCCUAAAUAAUCUCUCAGCUUCUGUGUUUCUUAUAUUCGUGAAAAUUGAACAAAACUUAUCUAAAUUUCUUUCAUAACUUCGCACAUAUUACAAGUGUUUUUGCCCUGUGUCAACAAAUAAAUGUUAGAAUUUGAAUAUAAAGGCGAUAUUAACCGGAGAAUGGCAAAGCUCACAAUAAUGUAACAUGUUUAUUCUGCUUAAUCCAUUGCCAUAAUGUCCAAACGACUAUAUUAUUUUUGUUUCUCUCUUAAUAUCACAACAAUUCACCUCGUCAGACUGCUUGACAUAAUUCUUAGCAGAAUGCCACGUAAAAAUUUUAUCAUUAAAUUAUUUUAAAUACAGUUAAUUUUUUUAUUAAAUUAUUUGCUGCCACCUCAAAUUAUGUCACUGCAUAUUUUAAAUUUCUUCUAUCAAAGUAGUAAAAAUCCAAAAGUGUUCAAUCUAAAUUUUAUAAGGAAAACAUUAACAUGACACCAAUUAAUUGAUACCGGGUUAGUGGCUAAAAAUUAAUUGAAUCGGUCGAAUUUUGGUUCAAACUGACCUAAAACGAUUCUACUCGGUCCAACUGAUUUUUCAUUGAAGGAUGUAUUCAUUUAAUUUUUUAUAAUUUAUCUUCAUUAAAUAACGUGCCUACUUAGUUCUUGUUUAAUUUUGUUAAAAAUUAAAAUUUUAAUAAAAAUUAUGAAUUUUAUAAAUUUCGUAAUUAAAAUUAAUUAUUAUUUUUUAGUCAAAAUAUACAAUGACUUAAUUUUUUAUAAUUUACCUCCACAUAUCUUUUUAUCUUUUGUUUGAUUCUCAUUAUUUUUAAAAUAUAUUUUUCUCUUUUUUUUAAUCACAUAUAUUUUAAUAAAAUAAUUUACACAUAAAUUUAAUUUUUUCUUAUUUUUGAGCCACUCAUUCUCUAUUAAUCUAUUAUUUUAAAAUGCAAUCUUAACAAAAAUAAAAAAUAAUAAGGUUCAAAAGGCGCUAAAAGUAUACUCGUCCUUCCAUCCUUAUGUUGCUUGUCACACGAACAAAUAAUUGCGUCUGAGAUGCUCCAAACAUUCUUUUUCAAAUCAACACCAGCCGUCCGAUCUCCAAUAUUCGGCGGCAUCAAUCGCCUAACAAACCAAGAACUCGAGGCACAGUAUCCCUCCACGUGUCUUAAAUCAAUUGGUUAACAUCAAUUUUAAUAUUUAUAUCCUAGUUUUCCCCUCCCCCAAAUCAGCAAAAAAUAACAACAGAACCGGAAAAACUAGCCCCGGGUCUAUGGGAAUCAGGGGCCUUCCUUUUUCAUUUAUUUGUUUUUCCUUGAUUGAAAGUUGGGGAUUUUCCGGGGAUUUUUCCGGCAGAUUCGAUUGAGACUUCCGAUUGAUCUUCGGGGAGUGAGGAAUAUUGAGAGAAAGGUGAAACAAUGGUGAAUUCAAUGGUGGAAAGAGCGACGAGCGAUAUGCUCAUAGGUCCUGAUUGGGCUAUGAACAUCGAGAUCUGUGACAUUUGCAACCACGAUCCCGCGUAAUUGCAUCUACUCUCUUGUUUUCCACUUAAUUUAUCCAGAAUAGUUUGUUUACAAUGAAAUGAAAAAAAAAAAAAAAGGAAUUGAAAACGAUGCAUGUCUUUUAUGUAUAGAGUUUGAAGACUUUCUUUCAUAUUUUAAAAUUUUUAUGAUAUGGAAUUUUCGGGAAUUUCGGAUUUGUUUAAUUGUUCCUUGUUUUCUUGUAUUCUCUACAAAUAAAUAAGGAAAAGAACACUUUGUAGAAUAAUUAGAGUUUUCAAUUUUUAUUCGAGUGUAGUUUUACGUUUUCAUUUUUCAACAUUAUUGUAUUAUCAUGCUUAGCCGAAGUAACUAUUUUUACCGGUUAGUAAUUUAUGUAAACUACUGGUAUGUGUUUGUAGUCUAAAUCCCUACUUUCUUGAUGCCUAAAAUUUAACUCACUUGCAUGCUUCUGUUUUGACAAUUUUCAAUAUUGAGAAGUAGAAAAGUAUAAUUUCUUCCAAAUUUGUUCUGCAGACUUUGGCUUUACAAAAAGGAGUCGUCAAUAUGUUUAUAACUAGUACUAACGACAUUUACAUGCAACAUCCAUGUGUCUCUUAGUCGGACAAUAUAAGAUUGUUAAACUUGCUUUUUACCUGUAAGAUGUUGAUUGGCUAAGAUAUCAUUUUUGUUAAUUUUCUCUAAUAAUGAAAAAACCUGUUAUAUGUAUGCAUUUUGCUGGUAGCUUCACUUUAAUGUUGUCUGAUUUACGUAAUGAAAAUUCGAAAUCAUUGUUGUUAUUAUUCUCAUCAUCAUUACUUUCAACUUAUUGCGACUCUAUUUGUUUAUCAGUCAAGCAAAAGAUGUUGUAAAAGGUAUAAAGAAGCGUCUUGGUAGCAAAAAUGCAAAAGUCCAGCUCCUCGCCUUAACAGUAAGUUUGGCUUGUAUUUACUGAUUUAUGAGGCUGCUUCUAUUGCAUACAUAUCUGUUGUUUGAUUUACCUGCUUUGGUCAGCUGGAAGGCUUUGCCUUUUAUGAGUUACAUGGUAUUUUCUCUCAUGAACUGAAUUCUUAAUAAAUUUUUUUCUGGUCUUGGACCGUUAGAUUUUUGAGCUAUAAAACUUUUAUUUCUUAAGUAUCGAAUAACUUUUCUGCACGGGCAACCAAAGGAAGGACUUUGAGGCAUGGGUUCCUUACUUCCCAUCAUCUUUUAGCCUUCAUAUAUUCUGGUAUUUUCUGAUUGGCAUUAUGUGCUGUGGUAAACCAUUAUGAAGGAUCUGGAAGGCAAAACACGGGCCUUCUUAAUUAUGCUCUAAAAGUAUAAUUUUGGAGACUGCUGAUAAGCGAGGAACCACAUGAUGCUGUGGAGACAUAGCUAUGUAGGCCAUUGUCUGAGGAAAGGACAAAAUAGUGAAAGAUCUGGAAGAUCAAACAUGGACAAGUAGAAACUGGGUGGAAGAAUUUUCUUCACAUAUGAUUUGGAUAAAGCUUAGGGUGGAAUGGGGUUGCUUGUACUUCAUUCGGAUGAAGGUAGGGAACUAGAUGGGAGAUAGAUAGUGAAACACAGUGAUGCAUUCUGGCAUUCUAGUAUUUGUGAGACUGGAGAUGGAGAAAGGCUAGUGUCGGGCAAAGAGGGGAUUGAGUUUCCUCAUGGUUGCAUAGUUCCAUUGCGAUGCUCAAAAAGUCAACUUGUGAGCCUUUCUCAUGUUUGCGGUAGAGUAGAGCAUGGCUUGAAAUACAUAUGUUGUGCAUUUGGGAAAGAAAAGGUUAACUUGAUUUUUUUACCUUAACAAAAUGUUUAAAAAUGCUCAAUCGGGUACCAGUUCUUUUUUACUUGUAAACCUCAAGAUAGACCAAUAAAUAAUUCACAAGAAUAUAAAAAUACUAAAAUAUUGUUAUUAAUCAUAAAACCAUUUUUAAAAAAUCCAUAAUAAAGCAAGUUAACAAAAAUAAGUUUAACUAGCAAACAAACAUAAAAUAAAUCAAUAACAUAAUAAAAAAAUUCUCAAAAAGCUAAGGCCAGUUCCUAAAAAAAAGAAAAAAAGAAAAGAAAAAUGGGCAAACAUUUCGGCUGUCUCGAGGCUUACCCUUUUCGCCUCCCCAAGUUUACGUGUAAGUCUCACAAUUGGCACAUAACGGGUGAGAUUUUAUUUCAAACAAUGGUUUAACAUUUUUGGGGUCAUACAAAGAUGUGAGGAUUUGAUGGUUUUAAUAGUAGCUCUAUAGGAGAAGUAAGCCCUUGGUGGCCUUUAAUUUGAAGAAAAAAAAAACUAUGUUUUGAAUAGUAUUUUUUUGGAGAAUGUGUGGUUAAAAAGUAAGGAAAAACUUUGGGUUUAGUGUAGAACAUUUUAUUGUAUGAAUGUGUAAUUGAAAAUGAGUAUGAGAAAUAAAUUAAAUUAAAUUAAAGGCCACCAAACAGGGGCAUAUUUCCUUACAACUCUAGUGAACUCAACCUUAACCACUUGAAAUGCUCAUUAAUUUUGGUAAAGCAAUGGGGUUGUCAUUUCAUUUUCUAGAUGUACUAAUUUUUGGACAACAACUUGAUAUGAGUAUAUUUGUUCAAUGCCUCUCAAUAGUGCUCAAGUAAAUGAAGAGAUAACGUGGUUGGUUUUCAUUUCAUUUUUCUAGCUUUUGGAGACAAUUGUGAAGAACUGCGGGGACAUUGUCCAUAUGCAUGUUGCUGAAAAAGAUUUGCUUCAUGAGAUGGUGAAAAUUGUGAAGAAGAAGGUAAUUGAUUGCACUUACUAUCAACCACUUUUUGUUUACAUCUACUUGAGUUAUUAGUAUAAAUUGUUGCUGAUGCAUCUUUUAUUGCAGCCUGACUUUCGUGUAAAAGAGAAGAUUCUAAUUUUAAUAGAUACUUGGCAAGAAGCUUUUGGAGGACCAAGGGCAAGAUAUCCUCAAUACUUUGCAGCUUACCAGGAUUUGUUGGUACGGUUGCAAGGCGGUUCCUAUGUUUUGGUCCCAUUUUACCCUUUUGUGUCUAAUUAUUGUACAUUGAUUUUUAUUUUCUAUGUGUACAUUUUAUCAGCGUUUUGGAGCAGUAUUCCCUCAGAGAUCGGAGAGCUCAGCACCUGUUUUCACACCCCCACAAACACAUCCAUUGGCAUCACAACCACAAAAUAUUCGUAACCUGGAACCUAGGCAGAACGCAUCCGAGUCUUCUGUUUCUGAAUCUGAUAUAUGAACAGCGUAUAGUCAAGUUAGAAAUUUAGUUCUUCAAAAUAUUGCUUGUUUUCAACUUCUGUUAUUUUGUACACUUAAACGUAGUGUAACAAAUGACAUGACAUAUGGAUAAAAGAGAGGGGAUUGAUCAAUCGAGUCCCAGGUACACUGGUGGAUUUUAGUGGAUUUUAUCAUGUUGAGAGCUUUUGCUGAGCAUCUGUAAUUGGAGAAUCUGCACAAUCUGAAGAAAAUGCCUAUUUAGAAAGUAAGUGAAUUGAUUGACAUUUGAGAGCUUUUGCUGGCCUUUCCUUGAUAAAGUUACUGUCAAGGGACUAAUAAACCGGGCUUCUUUCUGUAUAAUCUAUCUUGAUAUCUUAUAAAAGGCAACUAUUUAUCUCUUCCGAAUUAAGCCAUAGGUUAGUUUGAAAUAUCAGUUCAGCAUUUACUACUUGAUUUUGCAAUCUCAAUUUAUGGUGGCGCUUUUGACUUCUUAGCGCAAGCUAUGCAGGCCUGUAUAAUCCGAACUCCAACAAUAAGGGCAUACGAUCCACUUUCUAGAUCCACUUUCUAGUCUGGAUUAGAUAUGUUAUUAAUAUCUGUUAUAAAUACAAAAUAUGUCUCAUUCUUGGUGGUUGGUAAAUUUGAAAUUAUUGUAUAACCUGGCAACAGAUCAUACUUGUGAUACUUAUGAGGCUUUAUGUUACUGAUUGUAGUUAUGUUCUUUUAUUUAUUUUAGCCUGUUGUUUAUGUUAGCUUGACAGAAAUUCAGAAUGCACGCGGUAUCAUGGAUGUUCUUGCCGAAAUGCUCAAUGCUAUAGAUCCUGGGAACAAAGAGGUAAAUAUGAAAGGGAAAGUUUGCUUAUUGUUAGCACUGAAGCUUGCUUAGAGAAUGAUCUUUAUAAUUGAUGCAAAGGGCUCAUAUAUAUUGUAAAAGUAAAAUGGAAAUGAAUAUUUAGUUGUAUGAGAUUUUUCCCUCACGAAAUUGGCCAGUCAUUUGAAUUCUGGCUACAUGCUACUUUCGUUCUAUAUUUUCUUGAUCCAUAUGUUUUCUUCACAAUUUUUUAAUACACUUUGGAUUCAGUUUAAGAAUUCAUUUCUAUCUGUUGGCAGGGACUUAGACAAGAGGUAAUUGUUGAUCUGGUGGAACAAUGUCGUACAUAUAAGCAAAGAGUGGUACAUCUUGUUAAUUCGACUUCGUAAGGCCCUGAUAUACCUUCCCUUCUGCUAAACACUUGCAUGUUUAUGUCACACAGCAUAUGCAACAUGUCAAUGUGGGUUGGAGCUUAUUUGUAUUUCAUGUUUUUCUCAAGUUGUUUAUGAACUGGCAGGAAGGAAUAAGGUAUUGAGAGCAAUAACUGACAUAUUGAAAUUGUGAAAACAUAGAACCAUUUAACAGAUGACAUGGCCUCGAAUAGUUUGUGAAGGACAAUUGUUUUUUGUCCAAUUCAUUUUGCCCUUUUCAGUUUGAUGUUAAUGAAAUGGUUUCUUUUUUCUAUUAAUUUAAUGCCUGUAGAAUAACCUGUAGUCAUCUCUGUUGGGCAUGUCCAGAAUGCAUCAUAUGCUUCUGGUCUGCUUGGUGCAAGCUUAAAUUGGUGGUGAAGGUGAAUGAUUAUAAUAUAUUUAUCAGCUCUCUCUUGGAAUCAAGAGUCACAUGUGAGGAGGAAUUAAGUCCACUUCAAGAUAAAAAUCAUCAGGCUUUGGUAUAUUAUAUUGGAUGGAGAACGGCCAUGUUGACACUUGAAAUGUGUUUUAUAUAGCUGAACUACUUUGUGGGUGCAGAAGUUAAUUUUGUGGAAAGGAUGAUCUUUCGGCUCAGUUUCUUGGUAGCAUCUCGAUGAGUGGUAACCUCUACGAAAGUCCUGAAGGCAGCGACCUAAUUGGAGUAGGGAUGUGAUUUAUACGAGUCUUGCAAUUGAUGAGUAUAUUAGCAAGUUUCUGUCCCGUUCCCAUCAUGACUGAUCAAUUGCACAGCCCUUCAGCAAUGGAGAACAAAGAACCCACUAGACUCCCAUGCAGUAUUUUUCACAUGGUCUUUGCAUGUAUCAUUUAUCAUGUGUAACAUGAUUAUUACUUUUGUCAUGUUGGAUAGUAUUAUGGUUAGGCUUAUUUGGUGAAGAACUCAACUCAUUGUUUUACUGAAUUUAAUAUAUACAUGAUGUAGGGAUGAAUCGCUAUUAUGCCAAGGACUAGCACUGAAUGAUGACCUGCAACGUUUGUUGGCUAAGCAUGAAGCAAUUGCUUCCGGAGCAACCACUGUUCAGUCAGACAAAUCAAAACCAAAACCUGAACCUGUUCGAUCCCUGGUAGAUGUUGAUGCUCCUCUUAUUGACACUGGAGAUAAAGGGUAAAAUGUGAUUACUCUUGAAGGAUGAAUUAGAUUGUUAAUGUAUUGGUAUUGGCCUUUUUGUUUGUUUAUGGAUGUUAGUACCUGUCCGUGUUAAAAAGUAUUAUUUAUGGUGUCAUUUGAAAAUUGAAAUUGUUUGGCCUUGACUCUGAUGUGCUCACAUAUAUUCCAUGAGCUUUGCAUUUUGAACCUUUUUAGGGGAGGGUAGGAAGAGGACCUGAAAAGGAUAUGGACAGUGUAGAUAAUUUUCAACAAUUUUGGAACUUCUUUUCUUCAGGAUUUAUUGUGUUGGAUAUCAGAUUACUUCUUAAAGAGCAAAAUGGAUUUGUUGACCCUUUUAAACUAAAAAACUUCCUUUGUAUGUACUAUUAGUAUAAAUUAUUUAUCCAGUGUAACCCUCUUCAGUACCUGGUAGUUAAAACAAGGGAAAAAGAGAAGGUUAUUAGUCGAUAUACAUUCUGUGGGCUGCAUCUCCUUAUAUUUAUGGCCUUACUUAGAAGACCGAAACAUAAAGUUUCAAAGUUGAACAUUUUGUUGACCUCCUAGCUGCCGUAGCAAUGUUUGUAGAUUUUACCAUCAACAUUCUCUACAUGUCAUAUGUAUUUGGAUAUUUUUUAGACUACCUAGCUCUGAACUUGUUUGUUUUACUGUGUGUUUUUGGGUAGUAGGACUCUGGUUUGAUAAUAUGUUCUUAACAUCAAUAAUCUGACUGCCUUCUUUUUAUUUGCAAUCUACUGAUAGUUCUGGCUCAGGGAAACAGUUAGCUCUUCCUGCUCCCCCUGCAUCUAGUGGUCAAUCAACAACUCCAACGAAGGCUGAUCCUAAGAUAGAUCUUUUGAGUGGAGAUGACUUCUCAUUGGCAAUUGUUCCAGUGGGAGAGCCUCAGCCGGCCAGCCCUGCUGCAUCUCAGCAGAAUGCCCUCGCACUUAUUGACAUGUUUUCACAGAGUAAUAAUAUCCCCUCUUCGAAUUCUGUUGGACAAGCGCAUCCUUCGUCCCCUCAAUUUCAGCAACAACAGAAUUUUCAAUAUCCAAAGUCACCAUUAUCUCCAAAUGGAACUGUUUCUGGUCCAAUGUUUCCCCAAAAUGAACUGUCACUUUACUCACAAGGCUCAACCUCUCCAUGGAAUGGUCAAAUAACCCAGCAACAGCAGCCACCCUCACCAGUUUAUGGUGCGUAUAUCUCUUCUUCUUUCUUUAUUUAUUUAUUUUGUUCUUUGAAACUAGUUUAUUUUUGUUUUUCAAUUAUGUAAACGUUCAGAAUUCUCCAUCCCACCCACCCACUCCCCAGCACUCACGCGCCAAAGAAAAAAAAAAUCCUGCAUUUUAGAGAAUAUGAAGAAAUUAUCGUUUAACUGUAUUCCAAAUAUGUUGUAGUUGGAAAGAUUUGUUUCAAAAACAAUUAUUUUCUUCGACCUACGAGUUUAGAAUAUUAUUAGUGGCCACUCGACUCAACUGCAAGCAUGUCAUUCCUAAUACAUGGAAAAUAUAAUCUUGGUUUUCUUGGGCUAUAUUUCAUUCGGAUCUAUGCUUAUUUUUGUUUGAUAGGUGCUCAAAAUAGUGGUGCAUUGCCACCUCCACCGUGGGAAUCUCAACUAGACAAUAGCCAGUUUGGCAAUAAUCAGUCUCCUCAGCGAAUGCAAGUGACAACACAAUUAACAAUCACCCACUCGCAGCCAUUUCCCAGUGGCACAUAUCUUCCAGGCUCACCUGUGGCCAAUGAUCAGGUAGUCGGCAUGUACAUUCAGCCAAUUGCCACUGGCAAUUUUACAGCAAUCAACAACCAGGGUAUGGGAUUGCAUCCUCAAUCAAUCCAGGGUCCACAAAUGGGUAUGUUUUCUCAUCCAGUGCAAUCCGGUCAAAUGGCUUAUAUGUAUCCUCAACAGACGUAUGGAAAUCAAAUGGCGAACUAUGGCUAUGGUUACGGCCAACAGCAAAAUACUCAGGUUUUCGAGCAAAACAUGUCCAGGUUAUCUAUAAGGGACGACAGCAUCUUGAGAAAUAAUUCCUUUUCUUCAGCUCCAACGCCCGCAUCCUCGUAUGUCCCAAGGCCCUCGAAGCCAGAGGACAAACUCUUUGGGGACCUAGUUGACAUUACUAAAUUUAAACCAUCGAAAACUACUCCGGGUAGAGCUGGAAGCAUGUGACAUGACCUUGCCUUGUAUUUUGUUUGCUAACUUGGUGUGGACCGAUUUCAGAUCUUAAGAUUUUUUUGGGUUAAAAUUUCCACUAAUAUAUUUUCUUCUUUUUGGUCCAUUGUGUUGCAUUUUUUCUUUGUUUGCGGUUUCUUUACAUUAGAAUCAUGUAUAUUUCUUGUAGAAAUAAACACAUAAAAGAAAGGAAAAAAACAUUUAAUUGUUUAUGGUAAGUAAUGUUAGACCAAUAUCUCGAAUCUGCAAAUUGCAAUGCUAUCAUUAUCAUCUCGUUGUCCUGUAUUUUGGCUGCUUUCAAUUUUCAGUGAAAUUCAUGUGCACGUCGCAAGGAAUACACUUCUUUCUGGUAAACAUGAUGUAUUGAACUCAUACUAGAGAGAAAAGUUUUCUUGAUUGUGAUCAACUCUUGAUUGUGAUCAACUUAAACAAUUUUCAUACUCGAUUUCCAUUUAAAAAAUAAAAUAAAGAGCCUGUUUGGGGGUGAUUUUGAGAAUUAAUUUUUUGACCAUUAAGAUAAAAGUGGGGUUCACCAGUGAGAGAAGAAGUUAAAUAUGACGAUUGAAAUAGUUAAAUAACGGUUAAAAAAAUCAAUUUUUUGGGUCAAAAAAUCACUCCCAAACAGGUUGAAAGUGUGCUUCUUGAGUUGAAACUUGUGUUCAACGUUCUAUACAAGUUUUGUCUAAAUUCGAAUUGGAAAAUUUUUGGCACACUGCAUGUGGUGCAGUGUCUAUAUGUGUCCAUGAUAACGAAAUCGAACACAAAGUGAAAGUCUUUACGCCAUUGUUAGAUUGAGCAUUGUUGGAGAAGCUUAAACGUGAAUUUGAACAUAGUGAAAAUGUAAAAUGAAGUUAAUUCAAGAAGUAACUUGUUUUUACCUCUGAAAUUGUUUAUUCAAAUGUUUCCAGAGGCCAAAAAUCACUAAAAAGUAAUUUUACCUUUCAUGGGGAUUUUUAACUUACAAGUGUAGUAAACAAUGGAUCAAAGAUGUUGGGAAAAAAAAUAAAUAAAUAAAUAAAUAAAUAAAAUAUAUAUAUAUAUAUAUAUAUAGAAAAUGCUAAUAAUAAUAAUAAUAAUAAUAAUAAUAAUAACAGUAAAAUAAAGCUAAAAAAAAAAAAAAAAAAAAAGACAAAAGAAGCAUUGGGCCUAUACACAAUUCAAAUUAGAUCGAUUUCGGACCCAACCCCAGACCAACUUGGUCAAUUUUGAUAAAUUUUUACUCAAAUCAAUUCAAUUCAAUUGGUUUGGUUAAUCGAUUUGGAGAUAUCCAAAUUUUGGCACUCAUUAAAAUAAUAAUUUAUUUUUCUCCCUUUCUAUCAACUAUACAUUCUCCAAUAAAAUAAUAUUACAUGUAAAUUCCAAAAAUUAUAAUUUUAAAUAGCGGGAGCCAAACGGGGCUAAAAACAAAAAAUUGCCUGCCUAAAUAAUCUCUCAGCUUCUGUGUUUCUUAUAUUCGUGAAAAUUGAACAAAACUUAUCUAAAUUUCUUUCAUAACUUCGCACAUAUUACAAGUGUUUUUGCCCUGUGUCAACAAAUAAAUGUUAGAAUUUGAAUAUAAAGGCGAUAUUAACCGGAGAAUGGCAAAGCUCACAAUAAUGUAACAUGUUUAUUCUGCUUAAUCCAUUGCCAUAAUGUCCAAAUGACUAUAUUAUUUUUGUUUCUCUCUUAAUAUCACAACAAUUCACCUCGUCAGACUGCUUGACAUAAUUCUUAGCAGAAUGCCACGUAAAAAUUUUAUCAUUAAAUUAUUUUAAAUACAGUUAAUUUUUUUAUUAAAUUAUUUGCUGCCACCUCAAAUUAUGUCACUGCAUAUUUUAAAUUUCUUCUAUCAAAGUAGUAAAAAUCCAAAAGUGUUCAAUCUAAAUUUUAUAAGGAAAACAUUAACAUGACACCAAUUAAUUGAUACCGGGUUAGUGGCUAAAAAUUAAUUGAAUCGGUCGAAUUUUGGUUCAAACUGACCUAAAACGAUUCUACUCGGUCCAACUGAUUUUUCAUUGAAGGAUGUAUUCAUUUAAUUUUUUAUAAUUUAUCUUCAUUAAAUAACGUGCCUACUUAGUUCUUGUUUAAUUUUGUUAAAAAUUAAAAUUUUAAUAAAAAUUAUGAAUUUUAUAAAUUUCGUAAUUAAAAUUAAUUAUUAUUUUUUAGUCAAAAUAUACAAUGACUUAAUUUUUUAUAAUUUACCUCCACAUAUCUUUUUAUCUUUUGUUUGAUUCUCAUUAUUUUUAAAAUAUAUUUUUCUCUUUUUUUUAAUCACAUAUAUUUUAAUAAAAUAAUUUACACAUAAAUUUAAUUUUUUUUUAUUUUUGAGCCACUCAUUCUCUAUUAAUCUAUUAUUUUAAAAUGCAAUCUUAACAAAAAUAAAAAAUAAUAAGGUUCAAAAGGCGCUAAAAGUAUACUCGUCCUUCCAUCCUUAUGUUGCUUGUCACACGAACAAAUAAUUGCGUCUGAGAUGCUCCAAACAUUCUUUUUCAAAUCAACACCAGCCGUCCGAUCUCCAAUAUUCGGCGGCAUCAAUCGCCUAACAAACCAAGAACUCGAGGCACAGUAUCCCUCCACGUGUCUUAAAUCAAUUGGUUAACAUCAAUUUUAAUAUUUAUAUCCUAGUUUUCCCCUCCCCCAAAUCAGCAAAAAAUAACAACAGAACCGGAAAAACUAGCCCCGGGUCUAUGGGAAUCAGGGGCCUUCCUUUUUCAUUUAUUUGUUUUUCCUUGAUUGAAAGUUGGGGAUUUUCCGGGGAUUUUUCCGGCAGAUUCGAUUGAGACUUCCGAUUGAUCUUCGGGGAGUGAGGAAUAUUGAGAGAAAGGUGAAACAAUGGUGAAUUCAAUGGUGGAAAGAGCGACGAGCGAUAUGCUCAUAGGUCCUGAUUGGGCUAUGAACAUCGAGAUCUGUGACAUUUGCAACCACGAUCCCGCGUAAUUGCAUCUACUCUCUUGUUUUCCACUUAAUUUAUCCAGAAUAGUUUGUUUACAAUGAAAUGAAAAAAAAAAAAAAGGAAUUGAAAACGAUGCAUGUCUUUUAUGUAUAGAGUUUGAAGACUUUCUUUCAUAUUUUAAAAUUUUUAUGAUAUGGAAUUUUCGGGAAUUUCGGAUUUGUUUAAUUGUUCCUUGUUUUCUUGUAUUCUCUACAAAUAAAUAAGGAAAAGAACACUUUGUAGAAUAAUUAGAGUUUUCAAUUUUUAUUCGAGUGUAGUUUUACGUUUUCAUUUUUCAACAUUAUUGUAUUAUCAUGCUUAGCCGAAGUAACUAUUUUUACCGGUUAGUAAUUUAUGUAAACUACUGGUAUGUGUUUGUAGUCUAAAUCCCUACUUUCUUGAUGCCUAAAAUUUAACUCACUUGCAUGCUUCUGUUUUGACAAUUUUCAAUAUUGAGAAGUAGAAAAGUAUAAUUUCUUCCAAAUUUGUUCUGCAGACUUUGGCUUUACAAAAAGGAGUCGUCAAUAUGUUUAUAACUAGUACUAACGACAUUUACAUGCAACAUCCAUGUGUCUCUUAGUCGGACAAUAUAAGAUUGUUAAACUUGCUUUUUACCUGUAAGAUGUUGAUUGGCUAAGAUAUCAUUUUUGUUAAUUUUCUCUAAUAAUGAAAAAACCUGUUAUAUGUAUGCAUUUUGCUGGUAGCUUCACUUUAAUGUUGUCUGAUUUACGUAAUGAAAAUUCGAAAUCAUUGUUGUUAUUAUUCUCAUCAUCAUUACUUUCAACUUAUUGCGACUCUAUUUGUUUAUCAGUCAAGCAAAAGAUGUUGUAAAAGGUAUAAAGAAGCGUCUUGGUAGCAAAAAUGCAAAAGUCCAGCUCCUCGCCUUAACAGUAAGUUUGGCUUGUAUUUACUGAUUUAUGAGGCUGCUUCUAUUGCAUACAUAUCUGUUGUUUGAUUUACCUGCUUUGGUCAGCUGGAAGGCUUUGCCUUUUAUGAGUUACAUGGUAUUUUCUCUCAUGAACUGAAUUCUUAAUAAAUUUUUUUCUGGUCUUGGACCGUUAGAUUUUUGAGCUAUAAAACUUUUAUUUCUUAAGUAUCGAAUAACUUUUCUGCACGGGCAACCAAAGGAAGGACUUUGAGGCAUGGGUUCCUUACUUCCCAUCAUCUUUUAGCCUUCAUAUAUUCUGGUAUUUUCUGAUUGGCAUUAUGUGCUGUGGUAAACCAUUAUGAAGGAUCUGGAAGGCAAAACACGGGCCUUCUUAAUUAUGCUCUAAAAGUAUAAUUUUGGAGACUGCUGAUAAGCGAGGAACCACAUGAUGCUGUGGAGACAUAGCUAUGUAGGCCAUUGUCUGAGGAAAGGACAAAAUAGUGAAAGAUCUGGAAGAUCAAACAUGGACAAGUAGAAACUGGGUGGAAGAAUUUUCUUCACAUAUGAUUUGGAUAAAGCUUAGGGUGGAAUGGGGUUGCUUGUACUUCAUUCGGAUGAAGGUAGGGAACUAGAUGGGAGAUAGAUAGUGAAACACAGUGAUGCAUUCUGGCAUUCUAGUAUUUGUGAGACUGGAGAUGGAGAAAGGCUAGUGUCGGGCAAAGAGGGGAUUGAGUUUCCUCAUGGUUGCAUAGUUCCAUUGCGAUGCUCAAAAAGUCAACUUGUGAGCCUUUCUCAUGUUUGCGGUAGAGUAGAGCAUGGCUUGAAAUACAUAUGUUGUGCAUUUGGGAAAGAAAAGGUUAACUUGAUUUUUUUACCUUAACAAAAUGUUUAAAAAUGCUCAAUCGGGUACCAGUUCUUUUUUACUUGUAAACCUCAAGAUAGACCAAUAAAUAAUUCACAAGAAUAUAAAAAUACUAAAAUAUUGUUAUUAAUCAUAAAACCAUUUUUAAAAAAUCCAUAAUAAAGCAAGUUAACAAAAAUAAGUUUAACUAGCAAACAAACAUAAAAUAAAUCAAUAACAUAAUAAAAAAAUUCUCAAAAAGCUAAGGCCAGUUCCUAAAAAAAAGAAAAAAAGAAAAGAAAAAUGGGCAAACAUUUCGGCUGUCUCGAGGCUUACCCUUUUCGCCUCCCCAAGUUUACGUGUAAGUCUCACAAUUGGCACAUAACGGGUGAGAUUUUAUUUCAAACAAUGGUUUAACAUUUUUGGGGUCAUACAAAGAUGUGAGGAUUUGAUGGUUUUAAUAGUAGCUCUAUAGGAGAAGUAAGCCCUUGGUGGCCUUUAAUUUGAAGAAAAAAAAAAACUAUGUUUUGAAUAGUAUUUUUUUGGAGAAUGUGUGGUUAAAAAGUAAGGAAAAACUUUGGGUUUAGUGUAGAACAUUUUAUUGUAUGAAUGUGUAAUUGAAAAUGAGUAUGAGAAAUAAAUUAAAUUAAAUUAAAGGCCACCAAACAGGGGCAUAUUUCCUUACAACUCUAGUGAACUCAACCUUAACCACUUGAAAUGCUCAUUAAUUUUGGUAAAGCAAUGGGGUUGUCAUUUCAUUUUCUAGAUGUACUAAUUUUUGGACAACAACUUGAUAUGAGUAUAUUUGUUCAAUGCCUCUCAAUAGUGCUCAAGUAAAUGAAGAGAUAACGUGGUUGGUUUUCAUUUCAUUUUUCUAGCUUUUGGAGACAAUUGUGAAGAACUGCGGGGACAUUGUCCAUAUGCAUGUUGCUGAAAAAGAUUUGCUUCAUGAGAUGGUGAAAAUUGUGAAGAAGAAGGUAAUUGAUUGCACUUACUAUCAACCACUUUUUGUUUACAUCUACUUGAGUUAUUAGUAUAAAUUGUUGCUGAUGCAUCUUUUAUUGCAGCCUGACUUUCGUGUAAAAGAGAAGAUUCUAAUUUUAAUAGAUACUUGGCAAGAAGCUUUUGGAGGACCAAGGGCAAGAUAUCCUCAAUACUUUGCAGCUUACCAGGAUUUGUUGGUACGGUUGCAAGGCGGUUCCUAUGUUUUGGUCCCAUUUUACCCUUUUGUGUCUAAUUAUUGUACAUUGAUUUUUAUUUUCUAUGUGUACAUUUUAUCAGCGUUUUGGAGCAGUAUUCCCUCAGAGAUCGGAGAGCUCAGCACCUGUUUUCACACCCCCACAAACACAUCCAUUGGCAUCACAACCACAAAAUAUUCGUAACCUGGAACCUAGGCAGAACGCAUCCGAGUCUUCUGCAGAAGCUGAAUUUCCUACAUUGAGGUAUGUUUUCUAAAGCGUCAGUGUUGAAAUUUAAAUCACGUUAAAUAAUUUGUCAUAUCAAUAGCAGUUUUAAGGAAGUUGAAAAAACACAGGGGUUGGUUCUUUUCUGAAUCUGAUAUAUGAACAGCGUAUAGUCAAGUUAGAAAUUUAGUUCUUCAAAAUAUUGCUUGUUUUCAACUUCUGUUAUUUUGUACACUUAAACGUAGUGUAACAAAUGACAUGACAUAUGGAUAAAAGAGAGGGGAUUGAUCAAUCGAGUCCCAGGUACACUGGUGGAUUUUAGUGGAUUUUAUCAUGUUGAGAGCUUUUGCUGAGCAUCUGUAAUUGGAGAAUCUGCACAAUCUGAAGAAAAUGCCUAUUUAGAAAGUAAGUGAAUUGAUUGACAUUUGAGAGCUUUUGCUGGCCUUUCCUUGAUAAAGUUACUGUCAAGGGACUAAUAAACCGGGCUUCUUUCUGUAUAAUCUAUCUUGAUAUCUUAUAAAAGGCAACUAUUUAUCUCUUCCGAAUUAAGCCAUAGGUUAGUUUGAAGUAUCAGUUCAGCAUUUACUACUUGAUUUUGCAAUCUCAAUUUAUGGUGGCGCUUUUGACUUCUUAGCGCAAGCUAUGCAGGCCUGUAUAAUCCGAACUCCAACAAUAAGGGCAUACGAUCCACUUUCUAGAUUCACUUUCUAGUCUGGAUUAGAUAUGUUAUUAAUAUCUGUUAUAAAUACAAAAUAUGUCUCAUUCUUGGUGGUUGGUAAAUUUGAAAUUAUUGUAUAACCUGGCAACAGAUCAUACUUGUGAUACUUAUGAGGCUUUAUGUUACUGAUUGUAGUUAUGUUCUUUUAUUUAUUUUAGCCUGUUGUUUAUGUUAGCUUGACAGAAAUUCAGAAUGCACGCGGUAUCAUGGAUGUUCUUGCCGAAAUGCUCAAUGCUAUAGAUCCUGGGAACAAAGAGGUAAAUAUGAAAGGGAAAGUUUGCUUAUUGUUAGCACUGAAGCUUGCUUAGAGAAUGAUCUUUAUAAUUGAUGCAAAGGGCUCAUAUAUAUUGUAAAAGUAAAAUGGAAAUGAAUAUUUAGUUGUAUGAGAUUUUUCCCUCACGAAAUUGGCCAGUCAUUUGAAUUCUGGCUACAUGCUACUUUCGUUCUAUAUUUUCUUGAUCCAUAUGUUUUCUUCACAAUUUUUUAAUACACUUUGGAUUCAGUUUAAGAAUUCAUUUCUAUCUGUUGGCAGGGACUUAGACAAGAGGUAAUUGUUGAUCUGGUGGAACAAUGUCGUACAUAUAAGCAAAGAGUGGUACAUCUUGUUAAUUCGACUUCGUAAGGCCCUGAUAUACCUUCCCUUCUGCUAAACACUUGCAUGUUUAUGUCACACAGCAUAUGCAACAUGUCAAUGUGGGUUGGAGCUUAUUUGUAUUUCAUGUUUUUCUCAAGUUGUUUAUGAACUGGCAGGAAGGAAUAAGGUAUUGAGAGCAAUAACUGACAUAUUGAAAUUGUGAAAACAUAGAAUCAUUUAACAGAUGACAUGGCCUCGAAUAGUUUGUGAAGGACAAUUGUUUUUUGUCCAAUUCAUUUUGCCCUUUUCAGUUUGAUGUUAAUGAAAUGGUUUCUUUUUUCUAUUAAUUUAAUGCCUGUAGAAUAACCUGUAGUCAUCUCUGUUGGGCAUGUCCAGAAUGCAUCAUAUGCUUCUGGUCUGCUUUGUGCAAGCUUAAAUUGGUGGUGAAGGUUGAUGAUUAUAAUAUAUUUAUCAGCUCUCUCUUGGAAUCAAGAGUCACAUGUGAGGAGGAAUUAAGUCCACUUCAAGAUAAAAAUCAUCAGGCUUUGGUAUAUUAUAUUGGAUGGAGAACGGCCAUGUUGACACUUGAAAUGUGUUUUAUAUAGCUGAACUACUUUGUGGGUGCAGAAGUUAAUUUUGUGGAAAGGAUGAUCUUUCGGCUCAGUUUCUUGGUAGCAUCUCGAUGAGUGGUAACCUCUACGAAAGUCCUGAAGGCAGCGACCUAAUUGGAGUAGGGAUGUGAUUUAUACGAGUCUUGCAAUUGAUGAGUAUAUUAGCAAGUUUCUGUCCCGUUCCCAUCAUGACUGAUCAAUUGCACAGCCCUUCAGCAAUGGAGAACAAAGAACCCACUAGACUCCCAUGCAGUAUUUUUCACAUGGUCUUUGCAUGUAUCAUUUAUCAUGUGUAACAUGAUUAUUACUUUUGUCAUGUUGGAUAGUAUUAUGGUUAGGCUUAUUUGGUGAAGAACUCAACUCAUUGUUUUACUGAAUUUAAUAUAUACAUGAUGUAGGGAUGAAUCGCUAUUAUGCCAAGGACUAGCACUGAAUGAUGACCUGCAACGUUUGUUGGCUAAGCAUGAAGCAAUUGCUUCCGGAGCAACCACUGUUCAGUCAGACAAAUCAAAACCAAAACCUGAACCUGUUCGAUCCCUGGUAGAUGUUGAUGCUCCUCUUAUUGACACUGGAGAUAAAGGGUAAAAUGUGAUUACUCUUGAAGGAUGAAUUAGAUUGUUAAUGUAUUGGUAUUGGCCUUUUUGUUUGUUUAUGGAUGUUAGUACCUGUCCGUGUUAAAAAGUAUUAUUUAUGGUGUCAUUUGAAAAUUGAAAUUGUUUGGCCUUGACUCUGAUGUGCUCACAUAUAUUCCAUGAGCUUUGCAUUUUGAACCUUUUUAGGGGAGGGUAGGAAGAGGACCUGAAAAGGAUAUGGACAGUGUAGAUAAUUUUCAACAAUUUUGGAACUUCUUUUCUUCAGGAUUUAUUGUGUUGGAUAUCAGAUUACUUCUUAAAGAGCAAAAUGGAUUUGUUGACCCUUUUAAACUAAAAAACUUCCUUUGUAUGUACUAUUAGUAUAAAUUAUUUAUCCAGUGUAACCCUCUUCAGUACCUGGUAGUUAAAACAAGGGAAAAAGAGAAGGUUAUUAGUCGAUAUACAUUCUGUGGGCUGCAUCUCCUUAUAUUUAUGGCCUUACUUAGAAGACCGAAACAUAAAGUUUCAAAGUUGAACAUUUUGUUGACCUCCUAGCUGCCGUAGCAAUGUUUGUAGAUUUUACCAUCAACAUUCUCUACAUGUCAUAUGUUUUUGGAUAUUUUUUAGACUACCUAGCUCUGAACUUGUUUGUUUUACUGUGUGUUUUUGGGUAGUAGGACUCUGGUUUGAUAAUAUGUUCUUAACAUCAAUAAUCUGACUGCCUUCUUUUUAUUUGCAAUCUACUGAUAGUUCUGGCUCAGGGAAACAGUUAGCUCUUCCUGCUCCCCCUGCAUCUAGUGGUCAAUCAACAACUCCAACGAAGGCUGAUCCUAAGAUAGAUCUUUUGAGUGGAGAUGACUUCUCAUUGGCAAUUGUUCCAGUGGGAGAGCCUCAGCCGGCCAGCCCUGCUGCAUCUCAGCAGAAUGCCCUCGCACUUAUUGACAUGUUUUCACAGAGUAAUAAUAUCCCCUCUUCGAAUUCUGUUGGACAAGCGCAUCCUUCGUCCCCUCAAUUUCAGCAACAACAGAAUUUUCAAUAUCCAAAGUCACCAUUAUCUCCAAAUGGAACUGUUUCUGGUCCAAUGUUUCCCCAAAAUGAACUGUCACUUUACUCACAAGGCUCAACCUCUCCAUGGAAUGGUCAAAUAACCCAGCAACAGCAGCCACCCUCACCAGUUUAUGGUGCGUAUAUCUCUUCUUCUUUCUUUAUUUAUUUAUUUUGUUCUUUGAAACUAGUUUAUUUUUGUUUUUCAAUUAUGUAAACGUUCAGAAUUCUCCAUCCCACCCACCCACUCCCCAGCACUCACGCGCCAAAGAAAAAAAAAAUCCUGCAUUUUAGAGAAUAUGAAGAAAUUAUCGUUUAACUGUAUUCCAAAUAUGUUGUAGUUGGAAAGAUUUGUUUCAAAAACAAUUAUUUUCUUCGACCUACGAGUUUAGAAUAUUAUUAGUGGCCACUCGACUCAACUGCAAGCAUGUCAUUCCUAAUACAUGGAAAAUAUAAUCUUGGUUUUCUUGGGCUAUAUUUCAUUCGGAUCUAUGCUUAUUUUUGUUUGAUAGGUGCUCAAAAUAGUGGUGCAUUGCCACCUCCACCGUGGGAAUCUCAACUAGACAAUAGCCAGUUUGGCAAUAAUCAGUCUCCUCAGCGAAUGCAAGUGACAACACAAUUAACAAUCACCCACUCGCAGCCAUUUCCCAGUGGCACAUAUCUUCCAGGCUCACCUGUGGCCAAUGAUCAGGUAGUCGGCAUGUACAUUCAGCCAAUUGCCACUGGCAAUUUUACAGCAAUCAACAACCAGGGUAUGGGAUUGCAUCCUCAAUCAAUCCAGGGUCCACAAAUGGGUAUGUUUUCUCAUCCAGUGCAAUCCGGUCAAAUGGCUUAUAUGUAUCCUCAACAGACGUAUGGAAAUCAAAUGGCGAACUAUGGCUAUGGUUACGGCCAACAGCAAAAUACUCAGGUUUUCGAGCAAAACAUGUCCAGGUUAUCUAUAAGGGACGACAGCAUCUUGAGAAAUAAUUCCUUUUCUUCAGCUCCAACGCCCGCAUCCUCGUAUGUCCCAAGGCCCUCGAAGCCAGAGGACAAACUCUUUGGGGACCUAGUUGACAUUACUAAAUUUAAACCAUCGAAAACUACUCCGGGUAGAGCUGGAAGCAUGUGACAUGACCUUGCCUUGUAUUUUGUUUGCUAACUUGGUGUGGACCGAUUUCAGAUCUUAAGAUUUUUUUGGGUUAAAAUUUCCACUAAUAUAUUUUCUUCUUUUUGGUCCAUUGUGUUGCAUUUUUUCUUUGUUUGCGGUUUCUUUACAUUAGAAUCAUGUAUAUUUCUUGUAGAAAUAAACACAUAAAAGAAAGGAAAAAAACAUUUAAUUGUUUAUGGUAAGUAAUGUUAGACCAAUAUCUCGAAUCUGCAAAUUGCAAUGCUAUCAUUAUCAUCUCGUUGUCCUGUAUUUUGGCUGCUUUCAAUUUUCAGUGAAAUUCAUGUGCACGUCGCAAGGAAUACACUUCUUUCUGGUAAACAUGAUGUAUUGAACUCAUACUAGAGAGAAAAGUUUUCUUGAUUGUGAUCAACUUAAACAAUUUUCAUACUCGAUUUCCAUUUAAAAAAUAAAAUAAAGAGCCUGUUUGGGGGUGAUUUUGAGAAUUAAUUUUUUGACCAUUAAGAUAAAAGUGGGGUUCACCAGUGAGAGAAGAAGUUAAAUAUGACGAUUGAAAUAGUUAAAUAACGGUCAAAAAAAUCAAUUUUUUGGGUCAAAAAAUCACUCCCAAACAGGUUGAAAGUGUGCUUCUUGAGUUGAAACUUGUGUUCAACGUUCUAUACAAGUUUUGUCUAAAUUCGAAUUGGAAAAUUUUUGGCACACUGCAUGUGGUGCAGUGUCUAUAUGUGUCCAUGAUAACGAAAUCGAACACAAAGUGAAAGUCUUUACGCCAUUGUUAGAUUGAGCAUUGUUGGAGAAGCUUAAACGUGAAUUUGAACAUAGUGAAAAUGUAAAAUGAAGUUAAUUCAAGAAGUAACUUGUUUUUACCUCUGAAAUUGUUUAUUCAAAUGUUUCCAGAGGCCAAAAAUCACUAAAAAGUAAUUUUACCUUUCAUGGGGAUUUUUAACUUACAAGUGUAGUAAACAAUGGAUCAAAGAUGUUGGGAAAAAAAAUAAAUAAAUAAAUAAAUAAAUAAAAUAUAUAUAUAUAUAUAUAUAUAGAAAAUGCAAUAUGUACCUGUAGGCAUCCUCCAUCAGUAAGUAGUAAGCCAAUGACCUUCGCUUCCUUCAAUUUUGGCAAAACUUCCUGAAAGUAAAAACUGGGAGAAGCAGAACUUUUUGGUUUGAAAAUUGGAAACUGCUUAUGCUUCCUGGCCUCCUUAAAGCCAAGUGGUAGGUCGUGUACGACGGUCACAUCAUUUGUUAACGCUUCUGACUACCAGAAAGUUUGAUGGACCGCCCCUCACCGGAUCCUAUAAAAAUGCACAAUCAGAUUAUAAAGUAUUCUCACGCGUCAUCUGAAGUUCACGCUGAUCUCUGGUAAGCUUCUAUUUUCUGUUCAUUCAUAUCUCUUUAUGAAUUAUAUCUUUUACUUGAAUAUUUUUUUAUCAGUGCUUUUUGUUAAUCUUAGUCGCGUGCGAAGAAUUUUGAAUUCCUGUUUGAUUAAUGGGAUAAUUUAGGUCAGUAGGCAUGUUUUCUUAAAGAUUUGAUUGUCAUGUUUAACAAAUUUAUAUUUUUCUAAUAUGAAUUGUUUUCGAUUGAUUAAGCUUUGAAGUGAAUUGUGGAUUUCAGAAGUAGAGCAGAAAAUGCAGGUUAGUAUCGUUUCUUUUGUAAUUCCUUUUGUCAUAGCGGUUUUUGUCAUUAUGUAUUAGAUUAUUUUCUUUUUAUAUGUAUUUGUAAGAUUUCUUUGGAUUGGAAGCUCCGGAAAUUACUGGUAUUUACUACUUAGUGAAAUUUAAUAGUAUCUUUUGUUUGGUUGCUUGCAAUUAGGCUUUACACUUGCAAAACACAUUUUUUGUUGGUUCUUCUCCUCAUUUAUAACUGAGGUUUUCCAGGAAUUUCAUGGUACUAUCAUUAACUUAAAUUUUUUUAAUGUUUAUUGGUUUUACCCUGUUUUCCUGCAUUAAGUUUUUUAUGGUUUUGAGAGCUCGUGAUGUAUAAUACAAAUGUGAUAACUGGGAAGACCAGUGUUUCCAAAUUAAUUGGUAGAAAGUAGAGAAGGGUAAUUGUUUGAUAGGGGUAGUUCGGGACAAAAAUGUAUUACGAAUGUGGAUGUUAAUUUAUGACAUCUCAGAUAGGAACAGAAGGUGUUUGAUUGAGCAUUGAGGAAGUACUAAAUUGGGGCAGCAUGGAAAUGGGCCUUUUCUUUUUCUAAAUGAAUCUAUUUGUCAUUAAUAAUAAAAUGGAAAACCGCGUGUAGAAGUAUUGAAGAUGAAUUUGUAUCUCUUGUUAUAUUGCAAAGUACUGAAUCUGUACAAAUUUAGAUCUUUGAUAAUUCGAUGGACUGGUAAAAGAUGAACAAUAACUUUGCCACAUGUAAAGGAGAGGGGGAAUCUUUCAUCUUUGAUAACGGUAGAAGGAUAUUCAUAUUAGGUUGGAUUUUGCACUGGGUUCAGGAACAGAGAGAGUGACAAAUUUAUUGUACCUUGACCUGCUAUUGCAGCUAAAGUGCCAUCAGCUAUUUUAACCUUGUUAUUUCCGGAAUAUGGACUAAUAUGUGGAGAAACGAAUUAAGAAUUUGUCAUAUGGUCACUAGAACCUGAAUCAAUUACCCAGGGGCUUGAGAAACAAUCUUUUGAGGUACGAAAAGCAUGAGAAUCAGAAUACUUACAUGAGUGUGCUAAAAAAAAAAAAAAAAAAAAAAACACCUAAAAAAAAAAGCACCUGAUAGGAAUCUCCUUUUUGUUGAAACCUCCAAUUUCAGAAUUGUUUGUUGCAUUUCUUGACGGGAGUUUUCAGAAUGAACAUCUGCAAGUUGAGAAGCCACUGCGACAACAUUGUUGUUUACCUCAAAUAUUCCUAACAUUUUAUGGCUCUUUUAUGGAUGGUGAUGACUGGAAAAAUAAUUUGAUCUAAUACCGCAUUAAGACCUGGGGUUCUAUGUUAAAGGUCAAUCUUGUCAAGACAAAUAGCUCAAGACCUUCUAUGUUGGUUGUUUAUUUUAUAAUCUUUUGAUGUGGGGGUAUCCCUUAACAUGCCCUUACAAAAUGGUGGUUUGUUUAAGCAGAUCCAUCUCGAAAUCGCGUGUCUAGUUUUAUAAUCUUAAUUGGGUAGAAUUAUGUGCUCAUUUUGAGUCAUAAUUGGGUAGAAUUGCCGUUUGAGUUUAAUGGGUUUUGAUAUCAUGAAGAUGAAUGUGUAUCGCUGGUUAUAUUACAAAGUCAUGAAUCUGUCCAAUUAUAUAGUUGGUUUGUAAUUUAGAGAAAGGGGAUAAAUUAACUUCCUAAAAAUGCUAACCUGCAAUCAUGGGAUAUUCUAAAAAUCAGCCGUAAUUUAUGGAACCAAGUAGCAAUCAGCCUUAAGCAAAUCAGCCUUUGACUUCCAUUUUAUAAUCAGCUAAUUAUUGAUUGAUUUGUCAACAAGUAUAACAAAAAAUCUUUAAAUAUGAUUAAUUCAUGACUCCGUGUCUGUAGCUCCAUUCUUUACCAAUGGUUUCAAAGGCCCUUAAGUGCAGUUUAAAAUAAUAGUAAAAAGUGAAAAGACAAUUUGGAGCAUGUUGACUUCCAUUUUAUAAUCAGCUAAUUAUUGAUUGAUUUGUCAACAAGUAUAACAAAAAAUCUUUAAAUAUGAUUAAUUCAUGACUCCGUGUCUCUAGCUCCAUUCUUUACCAAUGGUUUCAAAGGCCCUUAAGUGCAGUUUAAAAUAAUAGUAAAAAGUGAAAAGACAAUUUGGAGCAUGUCGCCUUGGGGUUAAAAUUAAAGAACAAUUUUCAUAAGCAUUUCAAGUGACAUUUUUCGGGCUUGAAGUUCUCAAAGUUGUAAUAUUGAUUCUUUUUUAUUGUUUAUAUUAGUAUCUGUUUUGGUAAUUUUUUUUGAGAAUGAGCUUUUUUUGUAAGUAGGCAUCAAGGGCUAGGCUUUUUAAGGAAUACAAAGAAGUUCAAAGAGAGAAAGUAGCCGAUCCCGAUAUUCAACUUGUUUGUGAUGAUUCGAACAUAUUUAAAUGGACAGCUCUUAUAAAGGUGAGGUUCUGUGUUGUUUAGGGAGCUUUAUUAUGUUGCCUUUUAUUUUGGGGAAAUGCAUAGCAGCAGUCGUGUUGCUCAACUCUUUAGUGUAUAUAGGGGCCAUCAGAAACUCCUUACGAAGGUGGAGUUUUCCAACUUGCAUUCUCUGUUCCUGAGCAGUAUCCUUUGCAGCCACCUCAAGUGCGAUUCUUAACCAAAAUUUUCCAUCCAAAUGUGCAUUUUAAGGUGAUUCUUGUCUUUUCUCUCUUUCUUUUAUGGUUUUUGCCCUGCAAGUGCAAUGAAUAAGGUAAGAGAUCAAAGGGUGAAAUGCAAUUCAUCUAGUAUGAAAUAUAACAUAAUUGGCAUUUCCACUAUGAUUAAUGGAUAAAUAUAAUUGGCUUAUGACUGGUAUUUGUCAACCAAAGGAACUGACUUCAGGUAGUUCUCUCGAAUGAAUGCUGAUACACAAUCAGGCAGUGAGACAGCACUGCCAUUAUAAGGAAAUAAAUAGUUGGAUUAAAUGCAUUAGGGUACAAUAAAUACCUCUAAUUCUUGCCAAACAGGUGUGAUGGUUUCAGUGUAGAGGAUCGUGACUUACCAAUGGCACCAGUAAAACUAAUUUCUCUAUUAAAAAUUAAAUGAAGAAAGGCUAGGAGUUAAAGAGGGAGUUUAAUUUAAGCUUUGUGCUCACNNNNNNNNNNNNNNNNNNNCACACGCACAGGGCGGUGGGAACAUUACAUCUAUCACGGUAAGAAAACUAAGUAAUAUACUUGGAGCCUUGAUCGAGAUUCUUCUGACAUUGAUUUGUGUGUAGUUGAUUCAAUCUCUUAUCAACAAUGUAGAAUAGAGAAAAUAUUGUUGUCAGACGAUGACGUAGAACUGCUGAUAUGCUUGCUUAGAUCUUCUUUUGUUUGGUUCUGUUCUUUCUUUAUCUUUUUUGUGCAUGGGAGGGGUGGUUAUGGUUCGUUUAGUUGUUAUUAACUAGUUUGCUUUUUCUUUUUGCAGACUGGUGAAAUAUGCCUUGAUAUCUUGAAGAACGCAUGGAGUCCAGCUUGGACGCUGCAGUCUGUUUGUCGGGCUAUAAUUGCGUUGAUGGCUCAUCCAGAACCUGACAGUCCAUUAAAUUGUGAUUCUGGUAAUCACUCAGUCUGAUUCCUUUCGCUACCUGGUGGAAAUAAUGUUUAUCUUUGCAACUUAAUAUCCUCACAUUGGUGGACCAACAGUCUCUCUUUCUCUAUCCAUCUCGCUCACUCUAUGCACUUGUACACAUCCAGAGAGUUCCUGUGGUUGUGAUUCCAAAAACAGAAUUUUUUUCAGUGGGAUUAUUUGAAAUUUUAAGUUAUAUACUCUGUACAACUAAAGAGUCUUAGCCCUUGAUUGGUCCACAUUAUUUCUAAAAUACAUUUUUCUCUCUUAUUUUCAACCACACAUUUUUCAAUAAAAUAAUAUUACACGUAAACCCAAAAAUUUUCCUUAUUUUUUAACUAUACAUUCUUCAUCAAAAAUGCAUUAUUUCCAAAAAAAAUGGGGCUCAACCAUGCUCUUAGUAUCCAUAAAUAUUACCUUUUCCAUUUUAUAUAUUUUAUCCUUUUGCUAGCUGUCAUUGUAAAUCACAGUUGAAGUUAUAAUUCCCCAUACUUUCAGUAAUGGUGUAUUCACAGGGAGAAAUAGCUCAAGGCAUAGGUUCUCCAUAACCACUUAUAUUUUUCUUUUGCGGUUCUGUUUUUCAUUUCCCCCCUCUAAUUUGUUGUUGCUAUUUUGGGCUGUGUAUUCGUGCCUUUUACUGUUAAUAUUCUUCGUUCUUUUUGGUUUUUGGUGUUCUUAUAUGCUUAUUCUGUGUAUUUGUUGCUGGUUUGGGGUUUGGUUCUCCUCCCUUUGUCAAGCUAAAAACAGGCAAUACAAUGGUACAUAUUAUGAAAGCACUCAGUUGCAAUUUUACGUGUUUAUUUGAUUUACUCGAUAAAAUUUAGUAUUUUUAUCUACAAACUUGACCCCUUUCCUGAGAACUCUCAAAAUGUUGUGUGUGUGUGUGUGGUUUUUUUUCCCGUACCUAGAUAUAUAAAAGAUAUGAUUAGUUGGUAAACAAGCCAAUUUUCUUUGCUUCUCUCCUCUGUUCUUUUUCGUGAGAUGUGUGAAUGUGGUUGAUGCUUCGUCCUUGCUUUUCCCAGGCAAUCUUCUUCGCUCUGGCGACACCAGAGGAUACCAGUCGAUGGCAAGAAUGUAUACCAGACUCGCAGCCAUGCCCAAGAAAGGGUGAAGGGAUGCUUAAUUAUUCUCUUGCAGCUUGCAUGUAAUCUAGUUUUCUCAUCAACUGUUUGCUCUUGGAUCUAUUUGCUAGCAAGUAGAAACUUGUUCCUCUUGCAGCCUUCCAUUAAACUGUCCUGGCCUUGGACUUCAAUACUCUAUUGUAUUCUGAAUUUAUUAUUGUCAGAUGCCCUGCUAUACAUUCGAGGAAUGUAUCUUAACUCUUUACCACUACUGAGAAAGCAAUAAAUUUAUUUUAUCAUUUAAUCGUCUCGACUUUUUGCUAAACCUAUUUUUUGGUUUGGUUGAGCUAUUUUUGUUGAGAUUGGCCGUGCCUGCUGUCAACUAGGCAAUCAGUAUCACGUACUCAAAACAGAUAUAUAAGCGUAAGUCAAUCCCAAGAAAGCAGCUGUGAGCAGCAUAGAAGCUCUCGUUUGAGCAAGCCCUGACCAUGCUAAAGCGAAAAAUUUCUAGGCACCUUAUUUACAUGUCUAGAUGUCCAACGCUGCUUCACUUAUUGUCAAGGACCAUAUAGAUUCUUUACAGAUUCAAGCAGACCCGAUAACUGUACAAGUAUAGGUGUGUCGAUGGAAAAUGGCAAAUGACAAAAUUUAAGUCUUGGAACUCCCAAAAACAUGUCAUUCGACAGCAACCAUAAUUUAUAGGACUAUACAAUCAAAAUAACCAACAAAAAUGAACUCAAAAUGAUUUUUCUUGGUCUUGUUGGUUUUCAAAAUUCAGAAGUGACUGCUCUGGAAUGACGUGGCAAAAUGUUAUAGGACGAGCUAGAAGAAAAGAUUUCACAACCCGGUUAGUUCUAAGGUCCUCGACUCCUCGUGAUUAGCAUGCUUCAAAGAUUCUUUUUGCCUUCCUGUUCUAGUUCUGUUUCUGCAAUGUGAAAUACGAUCCAAUAUUAUUAUCGCAAACAGAUUUUCAAACUGUAAAAACAUAGAAACUGCUGCAAUCUCGCAUUGUUUUGAACGUGUUUAGCCAUGGACACCCACAAAAGAGAAAGGAAAAACUGAAACUAAACAUAUUCGUAACAGAAGUAAAAAUCCUGGUCGUCACUGAACUUUUACCAAGUUUUCAUGUAUUCAAAGUUGGUCACAGACUUGAUCAUUCUUACCAUUUGGUUACUGAACUUAAAAAUUUGUUACUAUUUGGUCCUUCCCUCCAUUACUGUUUGCCAAACUAUCGAAAAAGAUGAAGUGACAGUCUAGUUGGUACCCUAGUCAGAAAAUAACUCAACUGCCACAUGACCUAUUUCAGUAGUCAAGCUAAUGUACCUGGUGACCAAAUUAUAACAAAAUCAAAGUUCAGUAACCAACUUAAAACAAAAUGAAGUUUAGUGAUCAUUAACGUAUUUAACCUACUUCCCACUCUUUUAAUGUUUACUGGACAUCACAGUGAAGUUGGGAAAAUAGAAGACAUGUCAUCACCUUUUAUGCUUCCACGAGUGAUAAGUUUGUUGAGAAAACCACGAAACCUGGUUAAUACAAGUCUUUCUUGUUCUGAAUAUACGUGGUCUGACCCAUGCAAAUUCAUAUUUGUCCUUGUAUUCGAUCCCGAAAUACUAGAUGGAAUGUCGACUUUAGUGAACACGAUAUCGUUUUCAUCACACAUUAAUGCAAGUGUUCCGGGAGACACUGGCCGUUCAUUCUGAAAUUCACCUGUAGUUGACUCUGAUAAGGAAGUUUGAACUCCAUUUUCAUGGUUUCCAGGCAAUCUCCGAGCACUGGGUUGCUUUUGAAUGUCUGCAAUUUCAGCUUUUUCCAAAGUGGCCUUAUCAGUAUUGCUUGUUCUCUUUUCUUCUGAAAACCAGAAUGCAAAAUAUUAGAUAAGUAAAGCCUAAAUUUCACAAGGGAUGUAUCCAUCCCAUUUUUUCUAGUCACCUGAAGGUAGAAGAUAAAAGUGGUAGGAGAUUUACGGUACAGACCACUUCUUCUUUUAAUAAGGCAAUUUGUAAAGCACGGACACAGUCAUGGACACAACACAAACAUGUCCAUCAAAAUGAUGCAUUUAUACACGUUAUAUAUUUAUCUUUUUACUUGUUUAUUUUUUACAAAAUCAACACUCUUUUUAGCUUUGAUUUUGAUUUUGGAGGUGAAAUGUUUUGAAUAAGAGUAGCAGUUGUAUUUUGUAUCACUUGCAAAAACAAAAUCUAACUAAUCAUGCAUCAAAAAUUGCCUACACUGAAUAUAAACAAAUUCAACCUCAAAUUCCCAAAAUUUUUCUCCCGCAUUAUUUUGAUUUUUACCGUCACCAAAGUGUCAGAAGAGUGUUCAUGCUUCAUAGAAGGAAAUGCAAGACAAAGUAGGAUAUUAAGCUCCUUGUCUAUUCAUAUUAUUCAGGGAGCACAAUUUGUAAAUUCAACUGAAAACUCAUCCUUUAGUAGCCUCAAACUUGAAUAGAAUCCAUAUGACCAGAACUAUUUCAACCUCUAGCUUCUACAAGGCCAUCUUUCUGUUAACCCAUCUUUAGAAUGGUCAGACUACACAUCUUUUCGAGCCCUUUUGCGUCCAAAACGUACUCUCUCGAUCAAGUUGCUUCUCAGUGUUGUCUUUCAAUCAUAUAUAAAAUAAAUUUCCCUCUAUGAAAAACUCUUGUAAAGGUAUUUUGGGUGUACUUAAAAAUUAUGUGAACAAUAACAUAGAAACAACACACUGAGGCCACUUAAGAUCACGUUGAGACACAGUGGAGGGCACUUUUAAUCUCAAAUGUAAAUUAAAAACCAAAAACUUUGAUUUUAAAUGUUAGCACGACCAGUUUUCGGUGCCAAACGCUACUGAGUGGAUGCACUCUCCCCAGCAUUUUUUGGCAUAAAAUAAUUGAAACUUUCCUACGCUAGUCUACAUAAUCAUUUUAGAAAAAGAUGAGAUUCAGCAAGCCAAAAUGAUUAUUAGAGCUUGAAUUUACCUGAACGAGACUUUGCAGCUUCUGCUGAAACUGCGACUAAAAGUGAGCAGAACUCCUCAACAUGUCGUGGUUGGAGAAUUCCAGCCAGAGGAGACCUUUAAAUCAUAAGAAACCAGUCAAGAUUCUGUUUUGAAAGGAAAAUAGUGCGGCUGUUCAUAACUUUUAUUACCAGAGGAAAAAGAAAUAAGUGGAAUAAUUUGAAUUAAAAAUUAAAUCUAUAACCAAAAAAGUUCCCAAAAAAAAAUUACCUAUAAGAGGAUUUUGAAAGUCUGAACACUGCUGUAGACUUAGGUCCGGAUGUGUGAACCGAUGAUGUGGAACAAGAGGCACCUGAAGUUAAACAAGUUUCCUGAAUGAACAGAAAAAUGUAUGUUGAGAAUGUCUAAAAGCUUAAAAGUUUACUUAUUAAGUAAAUCAGUUUUCAAAGAAAUGAUUUUCUAUUGGUAUAAAUAUUAAAUUGGAAAUAAGCAAGCUAUUUAUUUUAAGAGUAAAGAUUAAAGAAAGAGUUACUUUCAAAAUGAGUAACUCUUUCUAUUUAUAAGCAAGAAAAAGUAACAACAUUUUUGGAAACAAAGUUACUUGAAAGUAACUAAGUAACUUUUAGGCUUAGCUAAACAUGCUAUUAGUUCUAUUGGGCAGAUACCUCAUCAAAUGCAUGGUAAUACUAUCGUUGAACAGUUUGUCCAGCUUGCAAUUGAAUAUGAUAAAGAGUUAUAUCUUCAAUAUCAAUGUUCUAUCUUCUUCACAGUUGAGACCAUGAAAAAGAUGAUUCACUUGGAGCAUGUUUGGCUAAGCUUAAAAGGUUCAGAUAUGAGUAAAUAAGUAAGUUUAGAAAUAAACAUUUCUUUUAAUUGGUAAAAAAAGCUGGAAAUAAGUCACUAAUUGACAUGAAUUUAAGAGUUACUUCCAUAAUAAUAAUCCUUUUUUACUUAAAAGCAACAAAAAAGUAAUAUAUCCAAAUAUGCACCGGAUGAAUUUGUGAAACCCUGCUAUUGGAUUGAUUAUCAGUUGUCGACCCAAAAACGAUCUGCUGAUUUCCAUUUCUUUUGCUCUGUGAUAAUCCAAAACCAGAUAGCCCAAUGGCUUCAUUAAUGACAGCAUUGGCUGCUUGUUGCAUGCAGGUCAUAGAAUUCAUAGGAUGUCCAUGAAAAAGAGCCUUUCUCUCUUCACUUCCUUUAAAGUUUUUACAGUCGAGGCAUUUACAGUUUUCAGAGCAUAGAAUAUUGGCUUGGAAGCACUCACAGUACUUCUUGAGGCAUCCAGAUUUUUUACAAUUGCAUCCUUUGUUAUGUUUUCUUUCCACUGUAAGCUCACCUCCCUCUACCUGGAUUUCUUUGAAACAGUUAGAAACAAGCAAAUAUAAAUUAAACAAUCAAAAUGAAAAUAUAUAAUUAUAAUGAUGUCAAUUAAGAACAAUAAUUGCCAUAAUGUUAUACUUCUUACUAAACUCACAUUCAUCUUUUGGGAUUUUCCAUCUUAACCUUUGAGGAGAAGAGAUGAAUAUCUUGAAAAAUUACACCCAAAUACUCACGUAGAAUUAGACUUAUUAAAGCAGUAGCAUCUUUUCUGUCUCUGCUGGAAUUAGAAAGUCAACCCUCCUCGAAAAUCUUCUUUGAUGAUACUUGAAAUAUUGAUUCAUAUUGUCAAAAACUAGAAAUUUGGCAAAGUAUUUUCAAAAUCUGUGAAUUGAAUACAUUUUGUGCAUCAUCGCUAUCAUAGUUAAACGUUGACCGUGCUAGAUAGUUUAAACCAGUGGAAAGAGAGAUUACAAACAAAAUGAUGCUUUAAUGAGCUUUACAUUUCUUCUCAUCAAAGAAAAAUGCACACACUGUCAAAAUUAGUUUCAAUUGCCUCUCAAUGGAGGGUUUUCAUUUUAUUAUAAAGAAGAGAACUGCAAAGUACACAGCUGACUUACAAGUAAUUAAAGUAAUUUGUCUACUUAAAUAUGGUAAGAACUAAUUAGCCUAUAUAUAAAAUACUAAUUAGAAUAUAUGCAGAUUUGGACAAGAAUAACCUCUAAAUCAAGAGUUGCCAUAUCUGUCUAACAUCUCCUCAAAUUGAUGCUGAUCGUUGUGAUCGAUCAAGAAGAGUAUCAAUUUGUCAAUCAUGAAUUGAUGGUGGUGGCAAAAUAAGACUGAAAAAAAAAUUAUUAGUCUGAUGCUCGAUGGAGAUGCAAGGAAGUUUAAUCUCAUGUUGAUCGAGGGCUUUACGAAUAGAUUGACAAUCUACUUCAAUAUGCUUUAUGCGAUCAUGAAUUAUUAGAUUUGCAACAAUCUGAAUAGCACUGGUGUUAUCAGCACGAAAUGGCGUAGGAGAAUUUGGGGGAUACCAAGUUCACCUAACAAACCCGGAAGUCGUACGAUCUCUGAACAGGCUAAUGACAUAAAGUUUCCAAAAAUUGAAAGCAUCACCAAGAAAUAUGCACAAACUAGUUUCUGAGCGAUGAGAAUCCAAACAACCCAAUCAACAUCAUAAUAAUCCAUUAACUGUAAGGAAUUUCCAAUGGAAAAAAUAACCAUCGACCAAAUGUACCUUUGAGGUAACAAAGAAUUCAUCGAACAGCUGCUAAAUGAGAUUGACGAGAAGCCUAUAUAAGCUGACUGACUUGCUAUACAACAAAUGAAAUAUCAGAUCGAGUAAUCGCCAAAUAGUUCAAACUCCCUAUAAACCGUCGAUACGUAAAAGUUCCAUUAAUGCUAACUAAGCUUUACAUUGACCUCUAAAUGUGUAUGUACGGAAUUUCAAGAUUGAAGACUAGCUAAGGUGAAAAUCUCUUGGGUACACUUGUGUUGAUGCAAAAGGAGACCACUUGGACAAUGAUGCACCUCAAAACGAAGCAAAUACUGAAGAAGACCAAGAUCCUUCAUAUGAAGGGUAGUAUUGAGAUGCUGUUGUAGUUGCUCAAUCAGCUGAGUAUCAGACCUUGCGAUGAUAAUUUCAUCCAUAUAUACUAAAAUCAAAACAAGGCCAAAGGCAGUUCUCUUAAGAAAUAUAGAAUAAUCAAAAUGACUUUCGAGUAGAAUGAAAAUCAAGCAGAGUGAUACGAAACUUCUCAAACCAUGCACACAAGACUUGCUUCAAUCUAUAUAGAGGCCGCUUUAACCGACACACCUCAGUGGAAGAGUGAGAGAACAUACUAGAAGGAGGACUUAUAUAUAUUUCCUCCUUCAAAUCCAUAUGUAAAAAUGCAUUCUUUAAAUCCAUUUGCCAGAGAGACCAUUCUUUAGAAGUGAUCAUUGCCAUAAUAGUCCUCACGGUAGUCAUCUUCACAACAGGCACAGAUGUCUCCUCAUAAUUAAGGCCAUACUCCUGAAAAUUCCCAAGAGCCACCAAACAGGCCUUAUACCUCUCUAUAAUACCAUCAUGCCAAAGUUUGAUGGUAUAUACACAUUCGUAUCCGAUGAGCUUUACUCUAUCAGGACAUGAAAAGAUGUCCCAUGUAUUAUUAUCCUGAAAAGCCUAAAGUUCUUUUUGAAUAUUUUGCCACCAACAUGCAUGUGUAGAAGCUUUAAAGAAAUAUUUAGGCAUGGAACCAGUGUCAAGAGUAGCUUGAUGAGUGUUAUAUGAGAACCCAUACUUAUUUGGAGGGCGUGAAACCGGAGAAGACCAUCGAAGUUUAAUGAUGAAAGGAUUAGCAUCAGUUCUUUGUUAGAAAUGAGCUGUUGAGACGGUAAAGAACGUCUCUGGUACACAAAUUCGAGCCUAAAGCGUCAAUAAUACAAAACAUAUCAAACUAGUUGAAUAGAAACAAAAUCAUAAAUACCGUGAGAUUGAAAAAAAAAUAUAUAUUAGGUUUCAAAGAAAAUCACAUUUCGAGAGAUACGAAGCUUGUUAGCAUCCGUAUCAUAAUACAUAAACCCUUUAUGUGCAUUACUAUACCUUAGGAAUGCACAUCGAGCUGACUAAACAGCAAGCUUAUAAUGUUCGAUGAAAGAUAAAUGGACAAAACAAACAAAACCUAAUAUAUGAAAGGAAACAAACAAACGAGAGUACGACGACUCAAAUUGUAAAUUUUGAGAGCGGAAAUGAUUAACCAAAUAAACAGUUGUGGGUAAAGUUUUUACCCACAAUUUAGGAGGCACGGAAGAUUCAAUUAAUAAAGUAUUAAUAACAUCCAAAAGAUAACAAUUCUUACACUAAACAACCCCAUUCUGUUUGGUAUGCAAGGACUGGAACGUUGGGGAGAGAAUCUCUUUUGUUUUGAGAUAUUCUUGAAAUUCAUUGUAUAGUUAGAGCAUAGUGUCUUAAUACUAGCAAAAAAUUGAGUCUCAACAAAGGUGUCGCGAAAAUCCCUCGAGAAAUCUUGAUUUCCGGCUCAAAAAACAAUCAAACAAACACCAGUUUACCUCGAAUCGACCCAAACUUCCACACUUGGUUGCCACAAGAUUUGCAUCCACAAAGGAUGGUGGUGGUGGUGGUGGUGGUGAUUUGCAAGCCACAAAGGCAAGGGAAAACAAAGAGGUAGCAAUGGUAAUCACUCAACCAAGAAACGGCUCCUCACUAUGUUUCUCUCUCUUCAAAAUACACAUACACCAUCCACAUCCGGUUGCAAAAAGAAGCAUAAUAUAUAGAUUAGGUUUUAGGUUUGGACUUGUUCAUUUAAAUGGGCCAAAGGUAUAUCUCUCUCAAUAGGCUAAGUUAUUGGACCAACAAUAAUCCAAAACCACACACUAAUCAAACCACCAAUCCAACUCCAACUUGGGCCUUCCAAAACUGUCGGUCGUAUUCGAGUCGAGCCAAGUCCAUGGUGUCGAUAAAUUAUUCGACAACUGUUUUAAAUCAUCACCCGAAUUUAUUGGGUAUCAAAACCCAACAAAUCUCCACCUUGAAGCCCAAUAAAUCUGCAAGCAAUCAAAAUACAAAAUUUAUACUUGCACAAUCAAGAUAAUCCAAUAAAAUUGGAAUCACGGAUUUUACCUCGUGUUUCCAACCUGAAUAAUAUAUCAUACUUGCUCCAUUUACUCACCAGGGCUAAGAUCAAGGGCACUCAAGUAAAAGCAGAUAUUCACAAUAAACAAUCAAGAGCGAAUAAACAUGCAAUGGCGAUAUAUUAUAGGAUCACACACAGAUCAUUUCAAAAAACACGUUCACACAGAAUCACAGAUUAACACCAAGUUAAUCAAACACAAGGUCAAACACAUAUGCAACAAAUGAAUAAAUGGCCCACGAAAAGAUCUCACCACAUUUAUCCUAUCUCAUUCCGUGUUACUCACACUUCGAGAACACAUAUCUCUUCUCAUCGCCCCUAUGCUCACUAACCUGAUCGCUCAACUCAUGUUUUACUGGAAAGUCACAAUAAAUCCUAAGUCCACGGGGUAAUCCUCUAUCACCACAUCACUUCACCCAACCUACGUGGAUAAUGGGUUUCCACUAAAUAGAAGUGAUAGAAGUGCCUCUCUCACACUCCACUGUACAGAAUCUCUUCAUAGAUAAAUGAUUCCAACAUUUAAUCACCUCUCCACUCUAAUUCAAAUGUCACACUCCACAUCCCCAUGCAUAUCACCAAUACACUUUCAGGCAUCUAUACUUCACCUCACCAAAAGACAUACAACUCACUGCUAAUGCAUCUCAAACUCACUAUGGCAAAUCAACACCUUUCGACGACCACAAAGGUUAGGGCUCAAUUUAAAAUUGACCUACGCACCACAAGAUUACUCCAAUCACCAAUGCUCAAAAAAUCCACAAAGGAAAUGGUGAAGGUGGCACUCGUAAAGAGAAUAGAAGAAAGAGUUAGUUACUUCACUACACUCACAAAAGAGGACCACAAAGAGAAAGAAGAUAACCUCACAUGGCUGCCUCACACAAUCUCACAAACCAUACAAGCUCACAAAGAUAAAGGAAAAAAGGUUGUCCAUCUUUCUUCUCACUAACACUCACAAAGCAAACGAAGUACGCCGCAAAACUCAACCCACUAUGCAUGCAAACACAUUACACAAAGUAAUAAGAUGACUAAUUAAUGCAAUUACACACGUCAACCAAAUUGAUAGUGUAACAUACCGACGAAACAGAAUUAAGCAAUCACAUGCAUGCAGAAAGGAUUACACAGAUGCAAAUUCACUAACCAAGUUUUCUCUUAAUAAACCUCACACAGGUCAUCACUCGACCUUAUAGCCACAUUCGCCUCACCUCUCUCAUUAUCUUUUCUUUUAUUAUUAUUACCAAAACCAUCUAUCUUAGCAUGUCCAAAUAUUUUCACAGUCAAAACACAUUUUUAUUUUUCGCACUUGCCUUAGACCUAUACACAGGGGCGGAGCUAUGAAGGGUCCAGUGCGGGCAUAUGCCCACACUGAACUUUGGCUCAUUUCCUUUUACACUUCAGUUCUGGGUGCCCACAAACUGGAAGGCAAAAAAUCAUAAAAGUGAGUAAAUCAUCAACAAUGAAAAACACAAGAAGGUGCUAGCUGGGGUGGCGUUUCUGAUAUCUAAUGGAGUUCCCUGCAUGCUUACUGGAAUAUAUAUACAUAUGGAGUGUGAGAGAAAUUGGUUGCAAUCUUGCAAAGAAUUGAUAGAGUGAGAAGAGAGACAGAGAAAGUGAGAGAAAGUGGAUUGAGUGUUGUUAUAGAAAGAGACUGAUCUUGCAACAAAGUGAAUUGGGUGUUGUUGAGGUGGCCUGUAUUGGUCUUUGAUGAGAGAGUGUGUGUUUUGUUACAAAAUAUUACACAAAUUUUCAUAAAUUAAAUUAUUUCUUUAAUAUUUGAAUUUAACAAUUUGAUAUUAGAUAGUAGCAAUCAUAGAUGAAUUUUUGAGCUUUUCGGGUUCGUGUACAAAUGGAAAUUCUAGAGCUUCUAUAAAAUUUGUUUGAUUAUAAAGAAGUAAAUUAAAUCACGAUAGAAAACCUAAAAGUCGUAGACGUAAUGAAAAAGUUCAAUAACAAAAAAUUAUACCACGUGACAAAUUUACAUAGAGUUUUAUCUCAAAGGAUGAGACCUACAGGAAGUAGUUGACGGGAGUGACAAUACCACUAGACAAAAUCAUGGCUCUAUAAAAGUAGAUAAUCAAAACGAGCACGGCUAUGUUUGUCGUAAAGACAAUAAUCGAGAAAGAAUUGUUAGAGCAUGUAAAUGAUACGAUCACAUCAAAAAAAAUAUGCCCGCACUGAAUAAUAAUCCUAGCUCCGCCCCUGCCUAUACAUGUUAUUAAUAUCAAAUAAUGACCACAAGCAAAGUAUAAAUAUAAUUCACAUAAAAUGAUUAAAUAAACUUUCAUAAGGUCACAUGUAAUUCUAACAGUGUAGAAAAAUUAGCAACAAAUUCACAAAGAAUUUAAGGGAAAUAAUUCAUNNNNNNNNNNNNNNNNNNNNNNNNNNNNNNNNNNNNNNNNNNNNNNNNNNNNNNNNNNNNNNNNNNNNNNNNNNNNNNNNNNNNNNNNNNNNNNNNNNNNNNNNNNNNNNNNNNNNNNNNNNNNNNNNNNNNNNNNNNNNNNNNNNNNNNNNNNNNNNNNNNNNNNNNNNNNNNNNNNNNNNNNNNNNNNNNNNNNNNNNNNNNNNNNNNNNNNNNNNNNNNNNNNNNNNNNNNNNNNNNNNNNNNNNNNNNNNNNNNNNNNNNNNNNNNNNNNNNNNNNNNNNNNNNNNNNNNNNNNNNNNNNNNNNNNNNNNNNNNNNNNNNNNNNNNNNNNNNNNNNNNNNNNNNNNNNNNNNNNNNNNNNNNNNNNNNNNNNNNNNNNNNNNNNNNNNNNNNNNNNNNNNNNNNNNNNNNNNNNNNNNNNNNNNNNNNNNNNNNNNNNNNNNNNNNNNNNNNNNNNNNNNNNNNNNNNNNNNNNNNNNNNNNNNNNNNNNNNNNNNNNNNNNNNNNNNNNNNNNNNNNNNNNNNNNNNNNNNNNNNNNNNNNNNNNNNNNNNNNNNNNNNNNNNNNNNNNNNNNNNNNNNNNNNNNNNNNNNNNNNNNNNNNNNNNNNNNNNNNNNNNNNNNNNNNNNNNNNNNNNNNNNNNNNNNNNNNNNNNNNNNNNNNNNNNNNNNNNNNNNNNNNNNNNNNNNNNNNNNNNNNNNNNNNNNNNNNNNNNNNNNNNNNNNNNNNNNNNNNNNNNNNNNNNNNNNNNNNNNNNNNNNNNNNNNNNNNNNNNNNNNNNNNNNNNNNNNNNNNNNNNNNNNNNNNNNNNNNNNNNNNNNNNNNNNNNNNNNNNNNNNNNNNNNNNNNNNNNNNNNNNNNNNNNNNNNNNNNNNNNNNNNNNNNNNNNNNNNNNNNNNNNNNNNNNNNNNNNNNNNNNNNNNNNNNNNNNNNNNNNNNNNNNNNNNNNNNNNNNNNNNNNNNNNNNNNNNNNNNNNNNNNNNNNNNNNNNNNNNNNNNNNNNNNNNNNNNNNNNNNNNNNNNNNNNNNNNNNNNNNNNNNNNNNNNNNNNNNNNNNNNNNNNNNNNNNNNNNNNNNNNNNNNNNNNNNNNNNNNNNNNNNNNNNNNNNNNNNNNNNNNNNNNNNNNNNNNNNNNNNNNNNNNNNNNNNNNNNNNNNNNNNNNNNNNNNNNNNNNNNNNNNNNNNNNNNNNNNNNNNNNNNNNNNNNNNNNNNNNNNNNNNNNNNNNNNNNNNNNNNNNNNNNNNNNNNNNNNNNNNNNNNNNNNNNNNNNNNNNNNNNNNNNNNNNNNNNNNNNNNNNNNNNNNNNNNNNNNNNNNNNNNNNNNNNNNNNNNNNNNNNNNNNNNNNNNNNNNNNNNNNNNNNNNNNNNNNNNNNNNNNNNNNNNNNNNNNNNNNNNNNNNNNNNNNNNNNNNNNNNNNNNNNNNNNNNNNNNNNNNNNNNNNNNNNNNNNNNNNNNNNNNNNNNNNNNNNNNNNNNNNNNNNNNNNNNNNNNNNNNNNNNNNNNNNNNNNNNNNNNNNNNNNNNNNNNNNNNNNNNNNNNNNNNNNNNNNNNNNNNNNNNNNNNNNNNNNNNNNNNNNNNNNNNNNNNNNNNNNNNNNNNNNNNNNNNNNNNNNNNNNNNNNNNNNNNNNNNNNNNNNNNNNNNNNNNNNNNNNNNNNNNNNNNNNNNNNNNNNNNNNNNNNNNNNNNNNNNNNNNNNNNNNNNNNNNNNNNNNNNNNNNNNNNNNNNNNNNNNNNNNNNNNNNNNNNNNNNNNNNNNNNNNNNNNNNNNNNNNNNNNNNNNNNNNNNNNNNNNNNNNNNNNNNNNNNNNNNNNNNNNNNNNNNNNNNNNNNNNNNNNNNNNNNNNNNNNNNNNNNNNNNNNNNNNNNNNNNNNNNNNNNNNNNNNNNNNNNNNNNNNNNNNNNNNNNNNNNNNNNNNNNNNNNNNNNNNNNNNNNNNNNNNNNNNNNNNNNNNNNNNNNNNNNNNNNNNNNNNNNNNNNNNNNNNNNNNNNNNNNNNNNNNNNNNNNNNNNNNNNNNNNNNNNNNNNNNNNNNNNNNNNNNNNNNNNNNNNNNNNNNNNNNNNNNNNNNNNNNNNNNNNNNNNNNNNNNNNNNNNNNNNNNNNNNNNNNNNNNNNNNNNNNNNNNNNNNNNNNNNNNNNNNNNNNNNNNNNNNNNNNNNNNNNNNNNNNNNNNNNNNNNNNNNNNNNNNNNNNNNNNNNNNNNNNNNNNNNNNNNNNNNNNNNNNNNNNNNNNNNNNNNNNNNNNNNNNNNNNNNNNNNNNNNNNNNNNNNNNNNNNNNNNNNNNNNNNNNNNNNNNNNNNNNNNNNNNNNNNNNNNNNNNNNNNNNNNNNNNNNNNNNNNNNNNNNNNNNNNNNNNNNNNNNNNNNNNNNNNNNNNNNNNNNNNNNNNNNNNNNNNNNNNNNNNNNNNNNNNNNNNNNNNNNNNNNNNNNNNNNNNNNNNNNNNNNNNNNNNNNUAAAACAAAUGAUACAAUUUACUCCUGACAUGAUGAAGCAAAGUAGAAAAUUUAACAACUCAAGUCCAAUAAAAUAGCAAGCCCAGCUCCAUAACUAAAGCCUAAUUCAAAAGUUAUCCUCAAUCCAACAACAAAUAAAUCCAAUCACAACCCAAUGCCCAUUAUGAAAUUGAUCCAAUAACAAACAAAUCCAAACCCUAUAUCAGUUCAGCUAAAUAAAAGGAAAGCCCAAACCCAACAACAAAUAAAUCCAAACCUAUAUCAAUUCAGCCCAACAAAGAAAAGCCUAAACCAAAUGAUACCUACCCAGAAAUUUGAUACUGCAGAUUAACCAUGCUCCGAUCAAUAGACACCACCAACAAAAAAACCUAAGAAUGGAAUCCUAUCGACACGCCAAGAACAGAUGCUCCGACUGAAGAGCCGCUCCAGAAAACUCCCAAGAACGACGACUUCCUAUAGAUUACACCACACCAGAAAUGGAACUGGAAAACGAGCCACAGAAAACUCCAACAACCCAGAAGGCACUGCACUUUACUUACCAAAAGUUGCUGAAAGAACCUCUAAUGAGGUUUCCGACAGCCCAAAACCAAAAAAUUUCUCAACAGAAGCAAAAAUUGUUAACCGCGAUAAUACUUUAAAAAUUUAAGAGGGCUCUAAUACUAUGUCAAAUUGGUUUCAUUUGUCUCUCAAUGGAGGGUUUCCAUUUCAAUAUAAAGAAGAGAAUUGCAAAGUACAUGGCUGACUUGCAGGUAAUUACAAUAAUUUGUCUACCUAAAUAUGGUAAGAACUAAUUAGGAUAUAUACAGAUUUGAACAAGAAUAACCUCAAAAUCAAGAGUUGUUGUAUCUGUAUAACACAUACGUGGACAUAAUCAAACAAAGUAGCUUGAGAAAGGAUGAAAUAAUGGUUAGUUGCUUGUUUAUAUGGAUAUUUAACCAGGAAAUUAAUAAUAUUAUUUAAGGAAAUCUACAAAAAUAAUAUGCAAAAUUUGUAAGGUUGUUAGAUGAAAUUUGGCUCUUUAGGUUACAUGUAUAAAAUUACUUCGUUUUUGCAAAUAAAUUUAAGGCAACAUAUGGAAUGAUAUGGAGCCCAUAAGAGUUCAAAUUCAUACAUACAAAAAAAUGCUUCAUAAAUUGAGGGCUCAAGUUACAUACCAUACUGUCUCUGGCCUUGUGUGGACUGUUAGCAAUCUUUGGUUUAAAGGCCUCUGGAUUUCGCUCUUUAAUUACAUCCAUUACAUCUUUUCUAUCAGACUCGUGUUCUAUGUUAUUGUGACAAUUUAAGCAGUUGCAUCCAUCACAGUAAGUCCCAGAGGAAAAGCACUCACAGUACCUGUUGGUCAACAAUGUUUGCUUAUUUCGAAAUCUGUACACUUGUUUUAACAAAAGAGAAUAUUUAUGCUAAUAUCAUCUAUUAAAAUAGUCGGUCUGAUAUUUAGGUGCAAGGACGAGUUGAAUAUACUGAUCGCAGUCCCACCAAACAAGCACAGAUUGGCAAAUAAGCAUAGAAACAGGUAAAGGAAUGGAAGAACAUCCUGCACCUUCUAUGAUCCAUUCUCUCUACAGCCAACCAAGAUCAAAUUAAGACAUGUCAUAAAAGACAAAAAGAAAAGAAAAAAAUGAAAGAGCAAAAGGAAGAAAAACAGAAAGGGAUGAUAGAAGGUCAAAUAGAAUGAAAAGGGUUUAUAACACAUGUUACGUGAUUAUUUAGAAUCUACAAAACAACCACAUGACCUGAGAUGUAUAUUUAUCUGUACAUGCAUGGUCCAAACACGAAAAAAUUAAGGGACAGGAUGUGGUAGCACACACAAAAAAGGCAGAACAAAACUCUCUGUUUUAUUUAAAUUAGAAUCUCACCUUGAAAUUUAUCAGGAGGCGGACAGUAAUAAGUAAAAAAACCGCGAGGAAUUUAUCUUCAUAUCAGAUAUGUCAUCGAGAGUAUUUUUUUUUUUUUUUUCCUCUUUUUUCACAAAUGAUUGGGUGAGAUGAAUGCCGGUUUCAGUAGAAGAGAAUAAGUGAAUAUACCUCCCUACUGCCAAAAUUUUAUUAAAGAAAGCUGCUAAUCAAAUGAGGGAUUGUACUUACAAUUUCAAGCAUCGCGAACUUUUGCAAUUGCAUUGCUUUUUCUUCUUUGGAGUGCCCUCCAUUUGCUCCAUAUUACACCGUUCACGUGAUUUUGGAGAUGCUACUUUCCUGAAGAAGCAAAAAUACAUUUUUUUGUCUUCACUAUUAGAUUGUAGUUACACAUAUCCUGUAAAAUUAUGGUUCAAUACUUCAAAAAGGUUAUUUAAGUUUAAUCUUCAACAAGUGUCUCAUGGGCAUGAUUUUUCAUCAAAGGCUUGAUAUGGGCAACGGGCACUCAUAGUUUUCACAAUUAGGCUGUGACAAAACUGGAAUCAGGUCGUUUGCAUUCUAUGUACCAUAUUCUCACUGAACGGCGAAAAAACAGAUGCCCAAAAUUUGAUCUUUUAGUUUUAAUCAAGUUAAUUGUUCCAAUGGUCACUAAACUUAGGUCUUCUUUGAUUGACCACUUUAAAAUGUCGAGUUUUGAUCACUGAAUUUUGAAAAAUAUNGUUCCAAUGGUCACUAAACUUAGGUCUUCUUUGAUUGACCACUUUAAAAUGUCGAGUUUUGAUCACUGAAUUUUGAAAAAUAUUGAGUUUUGGUCACUGAACUUAGAUCAAUGUCUUCGAUUGCUCACUGAAAUUUAAAAAGUCAAGUUUUGGCCACUGAACUUUGAAAAUACUGUACAUUACUCACUGAACUUCGAAAAAUGUUGUACAUUAUUCACUGUAAACUCAAUAUUUUUUCAAAGUUUAAUAGUCAUUCUAGUAAGUAAUGUACGGCAUAUUCCAAAGUUCAGUGGUCAAAAAUCGACAUUUUACAUUUCAGUGAACAAUCUAAGACAUGGACCUAAAUUCAUUGAGCAAUCGAAGAUAUUGACCUAAGUUUAGUAACCAAAACUCGACAUUUUAAAUCAAUCAAAAGACAUUGAUCUAAGUUCAGUGACCAAAAUCUACCAUUUUUCAAAAUUCAGUUGCCAAAACUCGACAUUUUAAAGUUUAGUGGCCCAUCAAAGACACGGACACAAGUUCGGUGACUACUGGAACAAUUAACUCCUUUUAAUCCAUCAAUAUUCAAAAUUCAAUCCCAACAGCAAAGCGAAAACAACAAUUAAACUAGGGAAAAAUUAUGCACAUAAAACCGAAGGCCUUACACUAUUGGCUGCAUUGUAGGUUUAUGCCGAGGCACCGGCAUGGGUUUCACGGGGCGAGCUAACCGCGGCGCUACUGGCGUCACUGUUCCUGGCGGAGAUUUAAGUUGUGCCACCACUGUCGGCGGCGAUUGAGAACUUGCAUUGGCAUGCAAUUUCUUCGGCUGCGAUAAGGCCAGCAACUUGGACUGUAACUGAGCCUGCGGAUGCUCCGGCAAUAUCACAUUCCCAUUGAAACUCGCUCCCGAAUCUAGCAUUGAGGCUUUAAAAUUAACCGUGAAAUCCAACUGCUUCUUCGCAGCGGUAAACUCCGCCUUCUCCGGCGCCGGGGACGCCUUUUCACUCUGCCCCAUCACCCAAAAUAUCGAAUCUGUAAAUGAAAACAAAAUAAACUUUCUCCAAUUGCAUGCACUCAAGUUACAACAUUUUUCCUGCGAAAAUUACAUGGGAAUCCCUCCAAUUCUUAGUUUAACAAGCUGCCCUUUCACGCUCUUGUACUUAAAAAUGAAAAUUUUUCUUCAAAAUUGAUGGCCCUCUCUUAUCCCUCAAAUUGUUUGCCAAAAAUUAAUCAAGAUUUGGUUCGAAAAAGAAACAGAUAAUGGGUUAAGAUUUUUCAAACAGGGAUUUGAAUUAACGAGAUAGCUCAUAAGGUUUUAUAUUUAAGUAGAAUUCUCUUUAUACACUAUUUUGAAAUUUCAGUUUGCACGGAAUGGACGGAUGGAUGAGCAAUGGGAUAUGAUUGGACGGAUGAGACUUAAAGUUCUGAUCAGAAGGUGACAUUUGCUAGGAGUCGUUGGAUUCCGACUUAAAGGACUUUAGAGAACUGUAAAAAGGCUCGAAAUUUUGGCGCUAAAAAAAAAAAAAAAUUAUUAUGCGGUACAACACUACAACUUGCUGAUGUACACGUGGACGGUCCAGAUUGAUUUAGCAGACGCGUGGAUUUCGGCGAAGAGUUUGAUUAUGGAGAAAACUGCGAAGAUCUGUUAGGAGACUGAAUUUGAUGAAAGAUUUAUGUUUUAUGUUUGUGAAAUAAUAAAAUAAAGAUUUUAGGUAAUUGGCCUUUGAAAACUUAGAUAAUAAAUUAAGCCCGUUUGGCCCUGCUUUUUUCAAAUUGAUAUGGGUGGAAUAGUAUUUUUUUGAAAAAUGAAUUAUUGAAAAAGAAGGAAAAAUUUUCGAUUUACGUGUAAUAUUAUUUUAUAGAAGAUUGUGUAAUUGAAAAUAAGAAAGAAAAAAAUCUAAUUUAAUUUAAUGGGGACCAAACGGAGGCUAAUAAUGGUUAUGAAUCCUGUGAAAUAUAUAUAUAUAUAAGAGUAUAGGUCCUAUUUGAGUCACAUUUUUUGGAAAAAAAUAUAUUAUUCAAUAGUGAUUUAAAUUUAUUUUAACUACACAUUUUUAAUAAAAUAAUAUUACACGCAAAUUUAAAAAAUUUUCUUAUUUUUUAACCACACAUUUCCUAUUAAUAUACUAUUUAAUUCAUUCCAAUAAUGUGGCUCAAACAUGGGCAUAAUAAUCGCUUCCCAAACACGUAUUUCUCAUGUUUUUCAAUUCUUUAUAAAGUACAGUUUAAAAGGACAACUCAUCUAACAUAAACGUUUUUAUUAGCAUUAUCGUUUAAUUUUUGUUGACACCAGAAUAUGUUGUCAACAGAUAUCGAAUCCAACCGCGCGUACGUAAGCUUGGUUCAAGACGCUAAAACACGUGGAUGGUCUUAAACGGACAGAUCAAGGGCGUGGGAGUAGCUCAACGAUGUGGGAUGAAGACGUUUGGAAUUCGACUAGAUGUUCGUAAAUCGAUUGUACAAUAAUUACCAAUCGAUGUUUAUAAAUGUGUAUGUGAAAAUGUGUAAACGCGUAUUGUGUUGCAAAAUAAUAAGAGAGAUUUGAGUAAAGUCUUGCUUCUUCUAUUGAUUCUUGCUUUACCCUUGUAAGAGAUACAUGAAGAGUAUUUAUAGUAUUAAAACUUAGAUCGUGGCCCUUGGUUGGGAGUACACGUAGCCUCAUCUCGUAAUUUUACAUGUCCAAUUAUAGGUGUCACAUUUGACUUCCUAGCCUGUUGCACAUUAAUUAACUGGCGGCUCUGCCACUAUAUUGACAAGACAAUGCACUUGUGCUCUAUGAUGGGUGUCCCAUCAAUCACUCAGGGAAGAUCCUUAUGUAAGACCGGAUCUCUGGGGAACAGUGCUACUUAAAGCCUCAGGAUUUCGGGAUAGAAUGGCCUCGGCUACGAGAUCUCCUCGGCGUAUUAGCUUCGGUGGCAGCACUUGGACCAUGCCUGGUGCUAUUAUAAUAUGCUAGUGUUAUUAUUGGGAUGGGGGCCUUGGAUAAGAUACCACGUGGUUCAACAGAAAGUGGGUCAUGGGCCCCAAUGGGUCGGCUAAGUGUUUCAACACGUAACAAUAGUUCCGCAAAUACAAGUAUGGUCAUUUUAUGUAAUACGUGGACUUUUAUUAUGGUAAAGGGUGUGGGGUAAAAACUGAGAAAUUUUUUGUACCUUAGCUAAUAGUCACCCAAGUUCAAGUAUAGAUAUUUAUAUCAUGGUUGAAGUUGAAAGUGGUGGUGUUGCUGUGGUUGGAAAAGGUGACUGAACUGCGAGGAAGCAAAAGAAGAAGCCGAGGGCGGUGUGUUGAUUGAACAUGCCGAGGCUUGUGAAGUGGCUGAAUCUACGUAGAAGUAGAAAGGGAAGCCGAGACGGUGAGUUGAUUGAACAUGCAGAUGCUUGUGAGGUAGUUGAAUUUGCGUAGAAGCAAAAAAAGAAGCCGAGGCGGUGUGUUGAUUGAACAUGCUGAGGCUUGUGAAGUGGCUGAAUCUGCGUAGAAGCAGAAGAGGAAGCCGAGACGGUGUGUUGAUUGAACAUGUCGAGGCUUGAAAAGUGGCUGAAUUUGCAUAGAAGCAGGAGAGGAAGCCGACGCGGUAAGUUGAUUGAACAUGUCGAGGCUUGUGAGGUGGGUGAAUUUGCGUAGAAGCAGAAGAAGAAGUCGAGGCGUUGUGUUGAUUGAACAGGCCGAGGCUUGUGAAGUGGUUGAAUCUGCGUAGAAGCAAAAUGGGAGGCCGAGGCGGUGUGUUGAUUGAACAUGUCGAGGCUUGUGAAGUGGCUGAAUUUGCGUAGAAACAGGAGAGGAAGCCGAGACGGUGAGUUGAUUGAACAUACCGAGGCUUGUGAGGUGGGUGAAUUUUUGUAGAAGCAGAAGAAGUCGAGGCGGUGUGUUGAUUGAUCAUGCCGAGGCUUGGGAGGUGGGUGAAUUUGCGUAGAAGCAGAAUGGGAGGUCGAGGCGAUGUGUUAAUUGAACAUGCCGAGGCUUAUGAAAUGGCUGAAUCUGCGUAGAAGCAGAAUGGGAGGUCGAGGUGGUGUGUUGAUUGAACAUGCCGAGGCUUGUGAAGUGCUGAAUCUGCGUAGAAGCAAAAUGGGAGGCCGAGGCGGUGUGUUGAUUGAACAUGCCGAGGCUUGUGAAGUGGCUGAAUCUGCGUAGAAGUAGAAAGGAAAGCCGAGGUGGUGUGUUGAUUGAACAUGCCGAGAAUUUGCGUAGAAGCAGAAGGGAAAGCCGAGACGGUGUGUUGAUUGAACUUGCCGAGGCUUGUGAAGAUGUUGUUUUCGAUAUUUUGCCAAUGAUUUGAUAUUUUGUGCAUGUUACCAAGAAAAGGCAGUCGAACCGUUUCGACUUCCAAGGCAUGUAUGGCUACAGCAUUGAAUGCGCAAUGAUGGUUACAGGUGGACCUUCUAGAAGGAGACGCGUUUGAAGAGGUAUGUGAGGAGCACGUUCGAAUCUGAGACGAAGAUUUCAAAACAAUUUAAAUUCUACGCUUCGGAUUUAACACUGAAUUGGAGGGCUGAGAUUCAUGAGGCCUUCAUCCAAGGGAUGGAGUUUGUCUUGGCUCUCUAUAAAAGGCUAAAGAUUUUCAUUUUGAACCCUUCUUCACGGUUUGUUUGAUGUGUUUUCUGCCUUUCGUUGUUUCUGGCGUCCAAAGUUGUCCUCCAAUUUCAAACUCCGGCGUUUCGCAGUUCGUUGUUUGUUAGUCAUUCCCGUAGGAUUUUUUUUUUUUUUUUUUUGCAAGGAUCAUUUCUUCUGUGAUUUUCCAAACUUUUUAUAUGGAGUCCACUUCGGGUAGAGAAUUAGUGACCAUAGCUAGGUUGGGUGAGGGGGCUGUCUGAGUGGGGAAUCUGAGGUGGAGUAUUACGCCAUGGCCAGGAGCCUAUAGAUUAUGAUGAAGAAUUGGGGGCUGCUAGGAUAGUGUCAAACAUAACCCUGAAGAAGUUGGAGGAAAUUAGGGAGAAAUAUUGCGUCCCCCAUUACGUGGAGAUGUUAGUCCCCAAGGCCCACGAAAGGGCAUGUUUUCCGAGGCCCGGAUGUGUGGCUGUAAGUGAAUACUUGUUCAAGGCAGGUAUGCGUCUUCCUCUGUACCCCUUCUUUAGGGCUGUGCUUAGAAACUUUAUGUUGUCACCGACCCAGGUUCUGUCGAAUGGUUGGAGCCAGCUAGUGGGGUCAUAUUUUUUGUGGAAAGAAGUGUCGUUAAGGGAGGAUAUGCAUCUGCACGUCUUUCAGACCCUUUUUCAGCCUCGUGUGUUGAGUAAAGACGAGUCGAGGGUGUGGUAUUAUCUCACACCCUGGGAGGCUCACGCACCCUUCGUGGUGGGGUUGCCUUUUUCCAUCAAGAGAUGGAAUGAGUUGUGGUUCUGGGUUCAGGAAAAGUGGCAGGCGGUUGAGGGGGAUAAGGUCGUGGAUUGCACAGUACCGACCCAGUACUACGAAGCUCGUGAGUGACCAAGUUUGAGAUUAAAUUUUCUAAGUAGCUUCUUAAUUGUCUGCUAACUAUUGCCACUUAUUUUGCAGAUUCAAGUAUGAGGUUUAAGCUCCGCAAGGGGGAGUUCGAGGUCAUAGAGGACAUAUAUAUGCGACCUUUAAAGCUUCACCACUUUGACCACCUCAUUGACCGAAGUCGAUACUUCAUAGAUUUUGAAUUGAUGGCCUCCAAGGGUAAAAAGUGCGUUCAUUUGAUCAAAUUUGUACUUAAUUGACAUUCAAUGUUGACCUAUUGUAUCUAAAGAUAAAUUCAAGAGAAGGGAGUACCCCGUCCCAGACAUGGCUUCGAUUCUGAGGGCAACUUCUACAGCGGGGAUGAGGCCCCUGAAGCCAAGCUCCGAUGUGGCGAAGGAGCUCAGGGGCCAGUUGGAGAGGCUGUCCAAGGACGACAGCUCUAGGGGGUCCGUGGAGGAGACCCCCCAUAAGUCAGAGAAAGCGAAGGAGGCUCGGGGUAAAGAAAAGGUCCCUGAGGACUUCCACAAGAAGAAGAAGCUAGUUCACGUCACCAGUUCUUCGAGAAAGUUUGGGACAUCGAUGUCCCAUUCAAACAAGGAUGUCCCUCCUCAGCCGAAGCUACUGGACUCUGCCAUGAAGACAGUGAAGGUAGAAAUGGUGAGAAAAGCUGAGGUUGAGGAGGCCAGGGAGGAGACUGCCAAGAGGGCAGCAGAGGAGGAAGCGGCCAAGCAGAGGCCAGCAAGGACUCAAGGGAAGUCCCCUAAUUUUCUUGCGGGUCAUGAUGAGGUGCUGCGCCUGCAUUGUUAGAUGCGCUGCCUGCCGAGAUCCGAGGAGUUACAGAGAGUUUUUACAAAUUUUGGACCGACAGGUGGCAGCUGCACGCCUAAAGCUACGAUGCGGUGGACCUCAUCAGGGCCUUGGUGAGCUAAAGUGUAAAGACCUUGGGCCUUGCACUUGAGUGUAGGGAAACACUCGUCGACUUUCAGACGAGGAAUAAGUCCUCCAGGGACAAGUUGGCCUCCACAGAGGAGGAACUAAAGAAAAUAAAGGCCGAGGUGGAGGAGAUGAAGGCCCAAAAGAUUGAAGAUACAACCAAGUUGGAAUCUGCCUUGACCCAAAUAGAGGCCUUGAAGAAGGAGGCUUACGAGUCUCGGUGUGAAGUGGCUUCCCUCACUAAGAAGGUGGAGACAUCAAAUAAUCAAUAGAAGGUCACUGUUGAGGCCCUGGAGAAAGCAAAUCUUGAACUUGUUGGGGCCAGGGAUGCCUACAACUUUCUGAAUGACCAAAUAAAGUGGCACGUUGAUGAGGUGAAGAGGGCAAGGGAGGAGGCAGUUAAGGAUUACAUUGCCAACUUCCACCUCACCGAGGAGUAUCAACACUUCGAGUUGUAUUGGAAGAACUUUGCCUAUGCUGAGGUGCUGGAUAGUUCUGAGGAGAUUUUCCCAAAUGUCGACCUGAGGUCGGACUUUGUUGAUGAAGUUCCUCAGAUGCCUGCUGAGAAAGCGGUCUGUGAUGAAGCGGUAGAGGACAAAGAAGCAGACACUUUUGAAACUCAGACUGCAGAGGUGCAUUCUGUCGAGGCAGUGCCACCAUCAGCAUAAGUAGCAUAGUUUGUCCUUAAUUCAUUCUGAUGUACUGGCCUCAGGCUCCCCUCUUGUAAUAUCAUGUUCAAUGUCAUUGAAAAUCAAUGUUUUGCAAGUAUUUUCAAUUCUCAACGUCAAUGAAAAUCAACGACAGCGCACGGAGCUCGGUAAAUAUCCACGCAUAAGUCUGAGCUAACAAUCCGAACUUGACAAUUUAACUUCCAUUGUAAUAAUCAAGCUUAAGGAUGAGUUAAUAAUCAAGCAAUGUAAACGAUGAGUUAACUGGUUGCACUUAGGUUUCGAUACUUGAAAUAAACUACGACGCCCAAAUUGCACUUGGGUUAUUUGACUAGAUAUUUCCAUUGAGUUCGAAUUAGGGAGGUAAAACAAUGGUGGGUGAGGUGUACAUGUUGAGGCUUCUUCCUUUGGUGUUCAGUAUCGCCAAAGGAAGACAAGUGGAGUGAGCCUCGAAAUUCUGGCAAGGUGACCCCAGAGUUGGGGAACAGGACCUCUCUUCCGAGGCUCCCACACUUCCCUACAUGGUGGAUGGUGCAGCCAUGGAGAGGCUUCUUCCUUUGGCGUUCAGCCUCGCCAAAGGAAGCCAUGUAGAGUAAGCCUCGAAGUUCAAGCAAGGUGACCCCAGAGUUGGGGAUCAGGACCUUUCCUCCGAGGCUCCCAUGCUUCCCUUCAUGGUGGAUGGUGCAGCUAUGAAGAGGCUUUUUCCUUUGACGUUCAUCCUCGCCAAAGGAAGGCAUGUGGAGUGAGUCUCGGAGUUCAGGCGAGAUGACCCUUGAGUUGGGGAUCAGGACUUCUCUUCCGAGGCUCCCACGCUUCCCUUCAUGGUGGAUGGUGCAGCCAUAGAGAGGCUUCUUCAUUUGGCGUUCAGCCUCGCCAAAGGAAGGCAUGUGGAUUGAGCCUCGGAGUUCAGGCGAGGUGACCCAAGAGUUGCGGAUCAGGACUUCUCCUUCGAAGCUCCCACGUUUUGCGAGUAUCUGAAUUUAAAUGAAAUUUUAUCAAAGCUGGAAAUCCAUUACAUAAGUUGGGAAAAUUCGUCCAGUGAUGCAGUACAAUCAUUGGUAGUAAAUUCUAAGAUGUUCAAUAUUUCAUGGACGAGGCUAUGUCUUGCCAUCCAUAUCUUCAAUUUUGUAGGUGCUGGGUCGGACUUCUUCUUUGAUUCUGUAGAGACCUUCCCAGUUUGGACUCAAGGUACCUUCGCCUGGCACUUUGGAGAAGAGGAAGACUUUCCUAAGGACUAAAUCAUUGAUUCGGAAGGACCUCUUCUUCACCUUGGAGUUAAAAUAUUUAGUCAUCUUCCUUUGGUAAGUAGUGAGCCUCAGCUAGGAGUCGUCUCUUCUUUCAUCCAUGAAGUCGAGGUUGAACCUCCGUAGCUCAUCAUUAGUUAUUUCACUGAAGUGCAAGCGACGCGAUGAUGGUAAGCUGACCUCGACGGGGCUCAUGGCUUCGGUUCCAUAAGCCAUGAGGAAAGGAAUUUCUCCCGUGGGAGUUCUGGCGGUAGUUCGGAUUGCCCAAAGUACUUGAGGCAACUCGUCAGCCCAGGAUCCUUUUGAGGCAUCCAGCUUCUUUUUGAAGACAUGUUUGAUAGUUUUGUUUACAGCCUCAACUUAGCCAUUGGCUUGAGGGUGAUGAGGCGUUGAGAAGUGCUUCUUGAUUCCAAGUUCUUCGCAUAGGUUCCUAACCUUCUUAUUAUCGAGUUGCCUUCCAUUAUCUGAAACUAUGGAGUGGAAAAUUUCAAACCGACAUAUGAUGUUCUUCCAAAAGAAUUUGGAGGUGUUUGCUUCUGUGAUUUUUCCCAGCAGUUCGGCCUCAACCCACUUCGUGAAGUAAUCAAUGGCUACAAUGGCAAAGCUCGCGUCUCCUCUGCCUUUAAACAAAGGACCUAUCAGAUCCACCCAUCACUUGGAGAAGGGCCAUGGGCUGGAGAUAGCAGUUAGCUCAUGUGAGGGUUGUCUCUUAUUGGGGGAGAACCGCUAGCACUUGUCACAUUUGCGCACAAAUUGAAGCGCAUCCUUUUUCAAGGUGGGCCAGUAGAAACCUUAUCUCAGUACUUUUUGUGCCAAGGCUAGUUCUCCUGAAUGAUUACCACAAACACCUUCGUGGAUUUUCCUUAGAAUGUAAGUGGCCUCGUCUCCCCCAACGCAGCGAACAAGUGGGGAAGAGAAGCUUCUUUUGUAGAGUACGUCAUCAAUGAAGAAGAAAUGAGCUGACCUCCUUCUUAGAUUGUAAGCCUCAUCGUUGUUAGUGGAUAGGACCUGGUCCCUUAGGUAGGCUAUGAUUGGUUGCAUCCAGGUGGGGGUGCUUCCGACCCACAUCACCUUCGAAGCCUUGGUUGACGGCGUGAGGAGGUGCUCAAUUGGUACUGUUGUAAGUAGUUCGGAGUCAUUGCUGGUCGCGAGUUUAGAGAGUGUAUCUGCAUGUUUAUUCUCGAAGCGAGGAAUCUGUAUUAUUUCGAAUUUUUCAAAAGAUGGGAGGAGGUUCAUCACCAUCUUCAAGUAGAAGGCCAUGGUUUUAUCCCUAGCUGAAAAACUGUCAUUCACUUGGCUUACUUCCAGCUGGGAGUCACUGUUGAUACGUAGCCUCCUUACUUGCAUUUCUUUGGUUAAUUUGAGGCCUGCGAGGAGCGCCUCAUAUUCAGUAGCGUUGUUGGUGGCCUUAAAUCCAAACCUCACAGCUGAGUUCAACUUGUGACCUUCUGGGCUGACAAUGACUACUCCAGCUCCGAACCUUUUCUCCAGCCGAACCGUCCACGAACAAGUUCCACGUGGGGGGCUCAACAGGUUCCAUAACCUCUUCCACCUCGGGUACAUUGGUGAACUCUGCUACAAAAUCAGCUAAAGCUUGGCCCAUGAUGGCUGCCCUUGUUUUAAAGACAGUGUCGAAUUCGCUUAGCUCCACUGCCCAUUUCAAUAGUCUUCCUGAGGCAUCUGGCUUCUGUAGCACUUGCCUCCAAGGGAAGUUGGUCAGCACAUGAAUGGUGUGUGCUUGGAAAUAGGGCCUCAGCUUCGUAGAGGCUAUGAUCAAGGCUAAGGCUAGCUUCUCCAUAUCAGGAUAGCAGGAUUCCAGAGACAGGAGUGCCUUGCUGGUGUAAUAAAUGGGGAGUUGGGUGGUUCCUUUCUGUCGGGUUAGAACCGCACUGAUGGCCUUGUUGGAAAUGGCCAAGUACAGCCGGAGGAUAUCGUCGGGCUUAGGCUUGGAGAGGAGGGGGCCUGCCCUAGGUGCAUUUUCAGGCCCUGGAAAGUCUCUUCACAUUCCUCAUUCCAUUCGAACUUCUUCCCGACUUUCAAUACCUUAAAGAACGGGAGGCAUUUAUCAGUGGUCUUGGAGACAAAGCGGCCGAGGGCUGCCACCCGUCCUGUUAGGCUUUGGACUUCCUUCGAUUUCUAGGGUGAUGUCAUCUCGAGUAAGGCAUUGAUCUUUUCAAGGUUGGCUUUGAUUCCUCUUUGGUUGACCAUGUACAACUUGCCAGAGGCAACACCAAAGUCACACUUGAGUGGGUUUAGCUUCAUCAUGUACCUCCUGAGAAUUCUGAAAGUGUUAUCCAAGUGCAUCACAUGGUCGUCGGCCUUCAGGCUUUUUACAAGCAUAUCGUCAACGUAGACUUCCAUUGUCUUGACGAUGAGGUCUACAAACAUUCUGUUAACAAGUCUUUGGUAGGUGGCCCUGGCAUUUUUCAACCCGAAGGGUAUCAUCUUGUAGCAGGAAAGGCCUCUGUCAGUGAUAAAGGAGGUGUUUUUCUCAUCGGACGGGUACAUGAGUAUUUGGUUGUAGCCAGAGUAGGCAUUCAUGAAGCUCAGGAGCUCAUGCCCGGCAGUGAAGUCUACCAAUUAAUCAAUUCUCGAAAGUGGGAAGUUGUCUUUGGGGCAUGCUUUAUUGAGAUUGGUGAAGUCAAUGCAUACCCUCUACUUACCAUUGUGCUUCUUGACUAACACCGGGUUGGAAACCCACUUCGGGUAGAUGACCUCUCUGAUGAAGCUAUUCUUGAUUAGCUUCUGUACUUCUUCCUUCAGAGCCUCAUAUCUUUCGAGGUGAGGGCUCUUCUCUUCUGUCAGUGCGGGGCAACCUUAGAAUCUAUCUUUAGGUGGUGGCAGCUGACUUUGGGGUCUAUGCCCACCAUGUCCUCAUGCCUCAAGGUAAAGACGUCAAGGUUCUUGCAAAGAAAGCUUUUCGAUCUUUCUUUCAUGUCAUUGCUCAAGCCUAUGCCUACUUUCAACACUUUCGCGGGAUCGCGGGGGUCGAUCGAGAAGCUUUCUAGCUCCUCAACCGGAGUAAUUUGGGGUUGGUGCUCAAUCAUGCGGAGAUCGAUCUCAUCGAUCAUGGAGAGUUCUUCCUGCUCGGGAGGCGCGUCAAUCAUGUCAACAUCUUCUCGUUCGGGAGGGGCCUCAUUUAGGAUGUUUUUCGUAUCCACAUCAGUCAAGAUGGCGUCUAUGUCUCUGGGCUUAACCUUUCUGAUAGAGCUUAGGUAGCAUUCUCUGAAUCCCCUUUGAUCACCUCUCACUGUUAUCACCUCGUUCCCAGUUGGGAGUUUCAUGCAUAAGUGGUAGCUGGAAGUAACGGCUCCCAACUCCUUCAAGGCUAGUCUACCCAAGACUCCGUGGUAGGUCGACCGAUUGUCUGCAAUAAGGAAUUUCAUGAAGUUCAUGGUGGUUUGGGAGGACUCUCCCAUCUCUAUUGCCAAUGUUAUCUUUCCUCUCGGAGUCAAACUAUCUCCGGUAAAUCCAUAUAGAGGAGUGGAGGUGGGCGUCAGUUCAUGGUCCAGGAUUAUCUUGUCAAAGGUGGACUUGAAUAGGAUGUUAACAGAGCUUUCAUUGUCUACUAGCAUUCGCUUGAGUCCAUUUCGGGCCACAACAGUCCUUACCAUAAGUGUAUCACAAUAGGGGUAGUGAACUCCUUUAGAGUUUUCAUGGGUGAAGACGAUGGGUGGUACUUGAUUUCUUCGGGAGCUAUUGUCUAUGAUAUAACUGGUUAGUGGGAGGCGUUUGGCCUCUUAGGCGUAAUUUUGUUUUGCGUUCCAAGUUUUCCCUCCCACGUAGAGGCCUCCAAAUAUGGUGUCUAUUUCGUGAAUAGGGGCCUCCUCUCAUACAUAGCGGUUCCCUCGAUGCCUGUGUCCCUCCCUAGUUCUAUCAGCGAUAUGUUCCAUUCGGCGGGGGGAGACAUCUCACUAGCAGGGGCGACCUCCUCACGCCUAGGUCGCUAGUCAUUCCCAGGCAGGGGCCUGUUCGCGUGCGGCGAAUCAUUCCUCCUGUCUUGGGGGUUUUCCCGUCGAUUGCGGUAUGCGUACUCCCUACACUCUGACGUGUCAUGACCGUAGGAGUGGUGGUACGUACAAUAAUAGAGGGGGUUUUGAUUAGUCCUAUUCCUAGGUCCUCAACCGCGCUCCCGACCUCUUCCUCUACGGGGGAGGGGGGGCUGUUGUGAAGUCCCUGCUUGCGGUCGGUAGUUGUUGGAUUGACAUCUUCAUAUACCAAAGUUGGAACCGAGUUCAAAGUAGCAGCAGCAAGUGCUUGCCCUGAAUUUCCACCACCAGGUGGGUUCAUCUAGUAGUCCAUCACGUGGGAGGUCGGUCCCCUGGCAUGCUGUCUUUGUUGAGGUAGGAGGUCUCUGCUGGCC